AAAGAUACCGAUGAUGAUGGCAAUAGAAUUAACAGACUUUGACAAUGAAUUACUUUUAGAAUUUCAAGAUACUGAAAAAUGGGGCCAAGUUUGGAGUCUUGUUUGCACAGCUGCUCCAGAUGAUAGUGCCAGUACAGCUGUAAUUCUUUUAUCAUUGCCAACUUCCCCGCAUGUUUCUCUAAGCAUCCUUCCAUCGAAAAUAGCUCUUCGUGGGAUGGAAAAAAAAGCAGUGAGAGCAUUUCGAGAUUGUGAAAUCUCUCAAGUACGUUCCAGAUUGGAAAACAAGCUGAGUCAUCUGCAGCAAUCUCUAGUUGUCUAAGACUGCCAAAAAGGUGUUGUGGGAAAUCGGCCUGCAAAAUCAUCUUCACAUCUUUUCCACUUAGUGAUAGUUCCUUCAAGUUGGGUACGAUCUGAUCAUCAUUAAUCAUAAUAACUAAUGAGGUCAAUUGAUGAUCUACGGUAACACGCAGUGACUUUAUAGUAUUUGUUUUAUAUUAUAUGUUAAAAAAAAUUGAAUUAUUGAUAAAAUUUAUUUUAUAUGUUAAUUUUAGAGGUAAAAAAGAAAUUAGGGAAAAAAGGUUGAUUUAUACUGGCUNNNNNNNNNNNNNNNNNNNNNNNNNNNNNNNNNNNNNNNNNNNNNNNNNNNNNNNNNNNNNNNNNNNNNNNNNNNNNNNNNNNNNNNNNNNNNNNNNNNNNNNNNNNNNNNNNNNNNNNNNNNNNNNNNNNNNNNNNNNNNNNNNNNNNNNNNNNNNNNNNNNNNNNNNNNNNNNNNNNNNNNNNNNNNNNNNNNNNNNNNNNNNNNNNNNNNNNNNNNNNNNNNNNNNNNNNNNNNNNNNNNNNNNNNNNNNNNNNNNNNNNNNNNNNNNNNNNNNNNNNNNNNNNNNNNNNNNNNNNNNNNNNNNNNNNNNNNNNNNNNNNNNNNNNNNNNNNNNNNNNNNNNNNNNNNNNNNNNNNNNNNNNNNNNNNNNNNNNNNNNNNNNNNNNNNNNNNNNNNNNNNNNNNNNNNNNNNNNNNNNNNNNNNNNNNNNNNNNNNNNNNNNNNNNNNNNNNNNNNNNNNNNNNNNNNNNNNNNNNNNNNNNNNNNNNNNNNNNNNNNNNNNNNNNNNNNNNNNNNNNNNNNNNNNNNNNNNNNNNNNNNNNNNNNNNNNNNNNNNNNNNNNNNNNNNNNNNNNNNNNNNNNNNNNNNNNNNNNNNNNNNNNNNNNNNNNNNNNNNNNNNNNNNNNNNNNNNNNNNNNNNNNNNNNNNNNNNNNNNNNNNNNNNNNNNNNNNNNNNNNNNNNNNNNNNNNNNNNNNNNNNNNNNNNNNNNNNNNNNNNNNNNNNNNNNNNNNNNNNNNNNNNNNNNNNNNNNNNNNNNNNNNNNNNNNNNNNNNNNNNNNNNNNNNNNNNNNNNNNNNNNNNNNNNNNNNNNNNNNNNNNNNNNNNNNNNNNNNNNNNNNNNNNNNNNNNNNNNNNNNNNNNNNNNNNNNNNNNNNNNNNNNNNNNNNNNNNNNNNNNNNNNNNNNNNNNNNNNNNNNNNNNNNNNNNNNNNNNNNNNNNNNNNNNNNNNNNNNNNNNNNNNNNNNNNNNNNNNNNNNNNNNNNNNNNNNNNNNNNNNNNNNNNNNNNNNNNNNNNNNNNNNNNNNNNNNNNNNNNNNNNNNNNNNNNNNNNNNNNNNNNNNNNNNNNNNNNNNNNNNNNNNNNNNNNNNNNNNNNNNNNNNNNNNNNNNNNNNNNNNNNNNNNNNNNNNNNNNNNNNNNNNNNNNNNNNNNNNNNNNNNNNNNNNNNNNNNAUAUAUAUAUAAAGAAAAUGUUAGCCUACGCACCUUCUCGUUGAAAAGCAGAGUUGAAAUGUCCAAAGUGAUUUCGCUGGAGCAAUACAUAGUCGUCGAUUCCUCUUGUGACACUUGUCUGUUCGGUGAUGCAGAAGGAGUCUCCACCUCACGGCGGCAAAAACUUGUAACCUCUGGAAGAUUUCCCACACUCAAAGAUCUUAAUUGAGCAAACUCUAUCUUCUCAAUUGCAUUAUCAACUUCUUCCCCAAUUGCAAAAAUCUCUUUCAUCUUGCUGCAAUUAAUAACUGCAAUUCUCUCAAGUCUUGGAAGGCAUUUUGUAGUAGAGAGCCAAAAGAUAUUACUCAACUUAUCACAAUUAUAUACUUCUAUGUUUUUGAGUUCGUUGAAAGACUCUACUUUGAGCCGAUCAACACAUAUCCUCUCCAUGUUGAUCAAAUUGUGAAGGAUAAGUGACUCCAAAAGAGGAAAGGCAUCACAAGCGACCAUCUCCCUUGAAUCGACGAUGCAAAAGAAGUCUGGAUUAUUUUGAACCCAGAGAAUCUUCAAUUGUGAAAAGCCCUCCGUGUCCAAAUUGAAAAGAACAUUCUCGAUGCCUUGCAGCUUGUCCAACCAUAAGCAUUCAACGUUAUUGAUGCCCUGCAAUUUCAUGGAGCAAAUGUCCAUAAAAUCAAGCUUGAGCUUCAAUGCUCUUGAAAUCUUACGAUCUCUGUCGAUCAAAAAGUGCUGCCGACUUUUAAACCAAUUUUGUCCAGCAAUCAUGGGAUGUGUGAAUAACCCAUUUCCAAUAUGUAUUUGGAACCUUUCGAGCUUUCUGGCCAAAAAGCCUUCUGGUAAAAUACUAUCAUUUUUAACAUCAAUUUCUAGAGUGGUUAGCCGAGGUAAAUGCAUCAAUUCAUCAAGGCUAGCAUUACUUCUUUUGCUGUUGGCUCUUUCAACCUCCCAUUCAAUGGAGCAAUUACCCAUAUACAAUUCUUCUAAUCGGAUUAAGCUUGAUAUGACAUUUGGGGCAAUAACUUUCAGACGGAAACAGUCUGUUAAAUCUAACAGCCUUAGCUUAGUCAGUUGACCCAGUGCUUUAGGCAACUCUACAAUAUCAGAUUCCAAAAAGCUGAGGAUUUCUAGAUUUUCCAACUUUCCAAUAAUGGCUAUGUCUAUGCCUCCCAAAAUGCUUUGAUUAAGACAGAGUGCCUGAAGAUUUACUAGAAGACCAAUUGAAGAUGGCAAUGACAAUAACCGCAUUCUUGUCAAAUCCAAAACCCGAAGCUUUUUCGUCCUUUUGAAGAAGUUCUCAGGAAUAUUAGGCACAGCAAAAGAGUUCUUGGGAGACAUGAGUAGAAGUUCAAGUUGUAGAGAUUCGGACCCAUCAGGAAUGUCAUUAAUAAUACUAUCUUUUAAAGAAAUUGCAAGAUAUUUUUUUAAUUCAUCUGCAUUUGGCCAUUUCCAAUCAUCCUCAUUUCUCACCACAAAUCCAAUUUUGUCACGACAUGCAAUUGAAAUGGCAACAUCGCGAACAACAUCAUGCAUGGAAAAUAAUUUACUGCUACCAUCCUUAAGCAACAAACAAGAGUCUCUUAGUUGAUUGACCCAUGCAUCUAAUUUGUUAUGUGCAUCUUCUAGCUUAUGGACACUUUUAAAUACACCCAAGCCCAUGCUAUAUUUGAACAAGUCCAUAAUUGGUGCUGGCGUAAUAAGACUACACAGUAAAAAAGUUUUCUUGAGUUGCUCACCUCUUAAGUACUUGUAACUCAGCUCAAUUGUUGAGUAUGCCUCUGCUGGUACUCCUUCGUCGAAGCUUGCCUCUGAAGGCGUUUGGAGUUCUUGCAAGGCAUUCUUCCACACAGGCAGCUCUUUUUUUCUCAGUGCCUUUGCUACUGUGGUUAGGGCAAUAGGCAAACCUCCGCAUGCCUUGGCUACACUUGUUGCUGUAGAUUCUAAUUCACGAUUUUCCACAUAAUCACCUGCCAUUAUCUUGAACAAUCUCCAGGCUUCUUGUUUAUUUAAAAUGCCAAUCAAGAAGUUUUUUUCAGAUCCCAUCCUUAACAGCACAUCAAGAUCUCUUGUUGUGAAUAAUAAUUUACAUCCUCUGUGCUCAACUCCAAAAGGAAUGCCAAUAGUCCCCAAAUCAAGAGGUUUCCAGAUGUUAUCGAGAAUCACAAGGAUCUUCUUCUCAUUCUUCAAUCUUUCAUAUAGUCUACUAGCUCUUCUAGACUCAGCUUCCUCGGACAACUCUAGGCCUAACGUUUCCGCAAUUUCCUCUUGGAUCUUUCUUAUGUCUGGACAUUGGGUAACCUCCGAAAAAACCACCAUAUCGUAAAGCUUGUCUUCAAUGGCUCGCCUUGCAAACUCCUUCACCAGUGUCGUCUUUCCAAUGCCGCCCAUGCCGUAGACCCCAAUGAUGCUGACAUCAACAUCGAUCAAUGCAUUUUGUAUGGCCUUCAAAGUAGAAAGUCUUGAAUCGAAGGCUUCGUAGCCUUUGUGAGACUUGAGCCAUAUAUCCUCCGGAAUGGUACGGUAGGAAAUUCCAUCAACAAAUCUCCCAGCUUCUUCUCGGAGUUUAACAAUGGCCUUCACCUUUGUUUCUGCUUUCUUGCUAAGCUGAUAGCGGGUCUUCAAAUUAGGACACAAGCCCAUGAGACAUCGUUUAUUUGUUGUCUUCUCAUCAUCAAUGAAUUUGGCUGCCUGCUCAAUGAUGAUGUUCGCACUAACCAGCCACUUCUCAACCUUCUCUUCAAUAUUUUCCCCUUUUCUUUCAGCCUCAGAAACCUGGAAGCGGAGAAAUGAAAGAAAGAGUAAAAGCUGUUAUGGAUCUGGUGAGAAGAUGGAAACAAGGAAAAAAUUUCUAGUUCGAGAACUGAUUGAAUUAAUAUAAGGAAUGAUUUAGAUAAUAGAGGCGAAGGGAACCAAUCAGAAUAACUGAAGUAUUGACCAGCAGAAAGACGGAAAAAAUAUUGACUGGUAAUAGAGAUGGAAAAAAUGAAGAUAUCUUGACACGGUAGAAGUACAAAGGGUAGAUAUGGAACCAAACAGAGACAACAGCAGACCACAACAAGAUUGGGAAUGGACAGAAACUAAUUAACAAAGACUGGAGAUUACAACAAAACAGAUGCCAAGAGAAAACUUGAUCCAGUGAAAUUCAAGAGAGCUGACAACAAAAACUGAUACUACUUGAUUGGGAAUUGAAGGCAAAGAGUAGGAGCUGAUGAAUACGGGGAUCAAGAGGGAAAAACUGCUUGCUCGUAAAACUACUUUCAAGCGAAUCUGAUAAAAUUAUUUCAGUACUCGUGGGCGACUCCUUUUUAAACUGCAGAAGGAGAAAAAAGAAAUGUUCUGAAUUUCAAUGUAUUAAUUUUUAUCCUAAUUUAUGUUGAGACUCGUAAUCUCGUCUCAAUGAUUAAUUAGUAGAUAAUCUUUCUAACAAGUAUGUGAUGAAUAGAUAUAUUUCUUGACUAUUAGUAGGUUAGAUAUAUUUUAGCAUAGGAAUGAAAGUACAAGUUGUGUCAUAUUAGAAUACAAAUUUGACCUAAAAAUAUUGUUCUAUGACCUUUUAAUUAUUUGUCAGCUAAUAAUUAAGUCAUAUAAAAAAAAUAAUAAUCUGAAUUAGUCUUUAAGUAUUAUAAAUAUUUCUUGAUUUUUAAUUAUAAUAUCAUUAUUUAAAAAUAAUUGCUUGACUUACAUAGUAAGUCAAUAAAAUAUCUAACAAUAGUGGUCAUAAAACAUGUGAUCCUCAAUCAAUGAAAUAUCUAACAAUAUCAUCACCUAAAGUUUGAGAUAUGUUAUCCUUAUUCCACUGCGUCAAUUACACUCCAGUCAAAUGCUGCCAUCAUUAUUGAACAGUCGACAUCCACCAGUUCUAAUUGCCAAAACUUAGAACUAAACAGUAGCUCGGUCAGAAAAUCAAACGCCAGUACCGGUCAAAUGACCGAUAAAAAUAUAAAGAAAUAAAAAUUUUAAAGUUUUACUUCAUUGCUUUUUUAAUCUUAUUACUAUUUCGGGUAAUUUUUACUUUCCUCCCCUCAGCUUUGGACUUUUUGCACUUAGAUGGUCAAGAUACAUUUAUCAGUAAAGACCUCCCUACCGUCAGUUAAUUUUGUAGUUGACUGUUAGUUGAAUUCAAAAAGACUGAAAUACCCCCAAUUGGAUUUUCAAGACUGAACAUGCUAUACAUUUGGCGCGAAAACUAUAACAACCAUAAUAUUACCAUUAUACCCCUUCAAAUUGGGUUAUUUACAAUUGCAUUCAACAAAUAAAAUGAUAAUUCUAUUUGGGUAAUUUUCACUGUUGCAAUUUGACCGUUGGAUCCGAAUGGUCACAUUGCCACAGAUUUGCCUAUUUAAAGGCUUAAAUACAGAGCUUUGUUCACAAGCAUCUCUACCUCUUCUUAACACUUUGCAAACUCAACUACAUUUCUCUCAAUCUUUCAAUCUCAACAACAUGGAUUCAGAGGGCUCAAGUGCAGUAACUAACAAGAAGAAUAGAUAUAAUAAAGGCAGUAUGAAAUGGAGGAGUCAAGUUAAUGGAAAUCUGAUCAAGUUUAGGAACUUGAAAUGCGAUUGCAGAGUACGUGCUGCUGUUCGAAUUUCAGAGACUGAAGAUAAUCCAAACAAGCUAUUCUACAACUGUCCUUAUGAUGCCUGUGACUUUUUCCAGUGGUGUUGUCCAGAACCAAGUGAUUUCGACAAUGGUGCAUUCUUUGAAGGUCAUAGAAGUUUUACAGUAGCACAACAACAAGUGCAGGUAGAACUUGAAGAAAUACUAAGUGCCCUGAAUGAAGUGAAGAUUAUACUGAAAAAAACUUAUCAAACUCAAAAUGUUUGUGACCAAGACUUAAGUGAUGUGCAUAAACUCACUUCAAAGAAAACCGAACAAGGUGGGGUGAUAUGUGGGCUGCUGAAGGCUGUGCUCUGUUUGAAUGCCUUUUUUUUUUACUGAGUGUUCUUGUGGUUAUUUUCCUGAAGUGAUUAACCUAAAUUACUAGCAUGAAUUUUGUAAUAAGUUGUACUCUAACUACUGGAAUGAGUAAUGAUAAGAUGAAAAUUUAAUGAACUUGUAAUGCUCUAUUUUUAGAAUGCUUAUCUUUGCUAACUAAGUGUAUAUAAUGUGAAGUAUCCUGUUUGAUUUGAGCAUAUGGCCUAGUCUUCAAUACUGCAUUUCCUAUGUAAUAACUUAACAUAAGCAUUCUGUACAUAUAGCUAAAAAUUAAAGGGAUUACAAUACUUUAGUUAUAAUAAUAUCUAUUAACAGUAGCAAAAUUAACUUGUGAGUUAAACUUUAACAGCAACAAGCAAACCAAUCCAGAACGAGUGAGAAGAGAAUCUAUUAAUUGCAUUCCAGCAUUAAAAUUCUUAAGCAGUAUCAUACAUAGUUACAUUCAAGCAGCUGUCACAAAGCAUGAAGCAGUUGAAUAUAAAUAGCUUCUGGUAAACUCAUGUAUAAUUUCCAGGUAUUAACCAAGCAAGCUUAUCAUAUUACUUGUCUUUGGCAUCACAAUAAUAUCAUGUACAAAAAACAAACUAACAAAAGGCUCAAACCUAUAGUCAGUCUGAGUAAAAGAUGAUACACCAGCUCCAUUCUUCUGCCCAUGACAAGAUGUUGUAUCAUCUGAUCCCUUCAAAAAAUUAGUUAGUGGGAAUAGUCUUGAUCUGCUUCUCAUGCUGGAUGCUAUCACUUUAAUGGUUUCAUUCUUGAGUAACAUGUCCUGGCAUGAAUAAAACAAACACUUACAUAUGAAAAUUAAAAAAAAUAGAUGUUGAUUACUAAAAUUAUUUAAAGAAUCGUGAAUAAAACUCACCAUUGUCAUGGACAGUAGGCUGAGAUAGUGCACUGCAAGCAACCCUUUGAGUUAUAGGCUGAUUAGAAUUAGAAGUGCCUUCACCAUUCACAACCUAUGCCACACCCAUUACAUCAUAAGCAAUUAAAUUAAUUAAAUUUAACUACUAAAUGAAAGAGAGAUGAUAAUUAACCUGUUUGCUAGAUACUUUAGUUCUUUUGCAGGUUCUCUUGUUAUGACCCCAAUGCUCACACUUAGAACAUUUGACACUUGAACUCCUCUUGAAUGUAGCUGGUUCAUCAGCUUCUUUCCUCCUCUUGAUCUGUGGCCGGCCAACAGACUUGAUAAUUAUAGGUGGCUGCAAAUUAUCAUGUAGAACCAGUGGCCACAUCUUCUCAUCAGGUAAAGGAAAGUAUUGAUACUUGUAGGUGUUGAUAAAAGCUGGACAUUUCAGAUAAUUAUGGAUAUAAUCUUCAAUGUUGAGCCUUUUUGCAUCAAUGGAACAAACACUAUGCUUACAAGGUAAGCCGGAUAUCUGCCAUUCCCUACAAUUACAAGUUUUUUUACCUAAAUCUACUACGAAUACUUUACAGAGAUCUUCCAUCACUUCGAAGGUGUUUUCAUGACCAAAUAUUACUGUUAAACCUCUCGCUGCAGCUCUUGCUUCCACAAUCUUUCUCCUAACAAGAGGUGGUAGAUGUCCAUUCCAUUUCUUUGCAUCCUCAUUCCUUUUAUGAAUAAGUUUCAUGAUCUUUCUCCUUAUCUCUUCGAGCAUCCUAACAAUAGGCAUGCCUCUAAAACUGUUAAUCCAGUUAUUGAACGAUUCAGUCAUGUUAUUGGUCACAUGAUUGCACUUGGUGUGGUUAGGAAAAGUGUGUUUAGCCCAAUAUACAGUUGGAAUGUUCAUGAGCCACCGGUGAGCUGCAUCGCUGAUUUUCUUCAAUUCCUCAAUGCUUUCACUGAAUUCUGAGUAGUUUGGACUUCUACAUGCCUUCCAAAAGACCUUUUUCAACAAAGUGCCAGGAAACUUUUGCUUGAAAUUGGCAUAAAUAUGCCUACAGCAGUAUCUUUUGAUUGCAUUAGGAAACACUCUAUCAAUUGCAUUGAUCACUCCUUUUUGUCGAUCACUCAUGAAACAUAGGCCUUCUCCACCAUUACAACCAAUCUGGUCAUAUAGCUUUUCCAUGAAAAACUCCCAAGAGUAAGUGUUUUCACUCUCUACUACACAUAAGGCUAGUGGAUAUAUACCAUAAUUAGCAUCAAUCCCAACUACAGUCAAUAAAACUCCUUUAUAUGGCCCUUUUAGAUGGCAGCCAUCAACCCCUACAAACUGUCUACAGCCUUCAAAAAAACCUCUCCUACUUGCAUCAAGCAUCAUGAAAAAUCUUUUAAAUACUGGGUGAGCUGUAUCUCCAUUCAAUUCCCUCUCAAUAGCUACUGUGGAUCCAGGGUUAUACUUUAUCAAAGCUUGUUGGUAUCUACUCAGUUUGCUGUAACUUUUCUUGUGAUCUUGGCCAAGUAAUUCAAGUGCUUUUUGUUUUGCUCUGUAUAACCUAUGCACACUGCACUCAAUGCCAUACUUUUUCAAAAGCUCAGCUGCUAUUAACUUGACACUGACUUCGGGAGUUGACUUGAAGAUAUGAAGAUAAGUGGCUGCAAUCCAGGUUGAAGUAGCUUCUCCGUUAUCAUCAUCAAUCCCACCACAUGUAUGAACAUCACAUAGGGUCUUAAUUUGAAAUCAUAACUGGCUAGCUAGUUCUUGCCUGCCUUGCUGCCAUUACCCAGGCCAUUACAUUGCAUAGCAUAAGGAAUAGUGAUUAGGUGCUUAUUAGUGAUUCGUUGAGCUUAUUAUUGACCAAACAAACAUAUUCGCCUUUACCCACAACUUAGUUUGAUUAGUUAUUAGACCAUAAAGAGCGUUAAUCUGUUCAUUGGCUUUGUUAUUUUUAUUUGGUUUUUCUUCCGACAAUACGGUUGAUUUCUUAUAAAAAUAUUCAUUGGUUUUUAAACACCUAAUCAUUGGCUAUAAUGAAGCUAAUUGAAACUGAGGCUUAUCAAUUUCUUCCUGCAAGAUACAAUUGAGCAUAAACUAUAUCCUCAGUAAAUUUUUCUAAUAUCCUUGAUUUGUUAGGAUAUGGGCCUGAAAUCCUCUAGAUUUUUUUAACACUGUCAAUGUUCUUUUUACUCUGAAAAGGGAAAAAAAAGGUUAUAUCUUUCAUACCCUAAUAGUAAGUUGGCCUUGACUUAACAUGCCUUCCCGAGAUUUGCAAGAUUCACAAGCAGCUCACACCCCCCCCCAACCAAAAAAAAAAAAAGAAAAAUAAAUAGGAAGAUUUUUGCGAGAUUCACUGCUGUACGGCCAAGGCGGAUGUACGGUACAGCAGUCAUAUCUCACACAAGCAGCAAUUUCCUCAUCAGACGAAUCAAAUUCAUCACCAGUCUCAUCACCUGACUGAUAAUCAUCAAGAACAUAGUCACUUUCUUCACCAUCUGAUCUUGCAUUCUCUUCAUCACUUUCUUCACCAUCUGAUUUAGAAGUAUAAAUUGUGUCAGUUGAACCUUUGCCAUUUUUCCCAGAAUUCUCAGAGCUAAAGUGUACUGUCAUAUCAUCUUCGAGUAAAUAACCACUCCGAAUACUGAAUUGCGUCAUAUUAUUCUCAUUGUUAAUUUCUUCAACAUCAUCUAGUUCAUUCCAAUUAAUUUCAGGAUCGACAUUGAGGUUGACAGAAAACUGAUUUUCAGGAGUUAUCUCAGUCACCUUGCCAUCAACUACUGCUUCAACAUCAUAAUGCACAACACUGUAAUGCAAUAAAACAACAUAAAUAAAUGCUAUUAAUGUUAAAGAAAAAGUUAAAAUUUAGUAAAUAGAAAAUGCAAAGUGUAGUUGACUAGUAGUAGCACACAAAUGCAGCAUAUCAUCUAUUUCAAGCUUAUUAAAACCCACUUUAAAAAUUACAUCAUGAAUAUUACCAUAUGCUUGCAAAUGCAUAAUCAACCGUAACAUAAGCUAAAACCAUAUGCUUGCAAAAUACCCAAAAUGGUGUUGGAAAAUUUAUUCUCGAUUUUAUGUUUCACAGUUCCAUAAACAUUAUCAAAGAUGUGUCAAUGAACAAAUAAUGAAGCAUAAACUUGACAUUUACAAACAACUCACCAUAAUAUCAAUACGCUCUAAAUGGAGCAAAAAAAAAAAAAGCUUGAUUCAAAACUAACCUAUAAUUAAUUUCAACAUACCGAUUCAAAUCUUUCGAGCAUCGGUGAAAUUCAGAGCGGGACAUGAUGCAGAUUUAGUGUUUCUUCUUCACUUCACCCAAAUAAUAGAUACUGCUUUGCUAGAAAUUAAAAAAAAAAUUUCCUUCUCAACAGAGCUUUCGUCGUCUGAGCUUCAUGAAACUCAGCUUCAUGAAAGAGAAACGUGCAGUUUCAGAGAAAAGAGAAAAAGUUUUAAGCUUUGAUUCUUUUACAGUUUUUUAUUUAUAUCAAUUAUCACAAGGCACGAUUUUUUUCACAAUGAUUUGACAAUUCACUGGGCUCAUGUCAACUAAAAUGUGUAAAAGUUAGCUUGUCAAAUUAAAUUACUAAAUUGCCCAUAACUAACCAUAUGAGAUUUACCGUUUGCAUUCCGUAAGGGGGUUUUUACUAAUAAAUGAAUCUUGGCCAUCUAAGUGCAAAAGACCCAAAGCUCAAGGGAGGAAAGUAAAAAUUACCCUUACUAUUUCUCGUUGCACUUAUAAAGAAACCAAAGCUUUAAGAGAAAUCGGCCAAAUCAUGAAGAUUGAAGAGUAAAUCUAUGGUUUUAUAUUUAUAUUUUUAUUUUUAGAUAAUAGAUAUUAUUUUGAUGAAUUUUUAAUAUUAGAAUAAUGUUAGGAAUUUCGAUAGUAGAAUUCUAACUUGAGACCCAAUUGUUAUGUGUCAUUUUUUUAUUAGAUAAUAAAUUUCAUAAUUAGUAAAAUUAAUAUUUCAAUCAUCUAAUAAAUGACUAUCAUAUCAGUUGAGACUUAAUUAUUGGGAUCCUUAACAUUGCUCUUAGUAUUAAAUUGGACAUCUUAGCUAAAUCAGAUUAAAAAUCAAAUUAGAUUUUUGGCUUUUAUCCAACAUUUGUUUUUUGGUCUCUUUGUAGUGAACGAAAUAAAAAUACAACAGGUUCAACGACUGGGCAAUUGAUAGUCAAGUAGAAGCAAAUCAAGGCUAAAUGGGAAAGAAAAAUGAUAUGUGUACAAAACAAGGAGAAAAUCCGUGUAACUGAAGAGAAUCAAAGUGCUUUUGAGAUUAGAAAUUGAAGCAAGAAAAGGGUCGCUUGAUCCAUUGAAAAUGCUAAGAGCCAAUGGCAAAAGAGAACAAUGUUAAAUAAGAAAACAGCUAGCGCUAGCAGCGACCACAAUAGACAGAAAAGUUGAGAUGGAUUUACAAUAUUUCUGCCUUUCUUCAUGCUUUAACAAAUAUUGCUCUAUAAAAAAAAAUAUUGAGCGUUUUUAUUAUUGGAGUCACAAAAGACCUACACAAUAUAGCAAGUGCUAGGAAUAAAUAAGAAUAUAUAACUCUCUCUCUAAUUCUCACUCUAGCUUUUAAUUGUCAUUCAAAACCCAAAAUUCAUCCUUAAAGUGUAAGCAAAUCAGAGAUGACAACGUCUGGUUGUCAUACGUGCCUUUUAGUUUUCGGAUGACAUGGCGUACACUUCUUCUGUAAACCGAACAUGACAUGUCGUACUCUUUGUUUUGAGAUCAUAUUUCAAACUCUUCAUGCUAUGAAUGAAAGAUAAACUACAAUCAUCAAAAUAUUUAGUGUUUAUUUGGUAAUGUAACGUCAUAGUUGUUGUGAAUUGAAAUUAUUUCUGUGAGAUAAAAGGAUUUGGGUCAUCGUUUGUUAUUCUCUGGCAAUAUUGUCUGGCCGUGACUAUUUGUUAAAUAUUAAAAAAAUAAAAUUAUAUUUAUUAAGUAUAAAAAAUAAAUAAACAAACAAAAAUAAAAGGAAAAGUUUAUACAUUACAUAAAAUAAUAAGAACAUUAUCAAUAUUUCACACUCUAUAAUUGAGUGAUGUGUUGUCCAACUGCCAUACAUUGGUCUCAAAUGGAGACUUAAAUAUUAAAGUCCAAAGUUAUUGUGAUGAUGACUUAUAAUCGCCAAACUUGACAUACGGGUAAUCAUGCAUUAUAAGGUGCUGAUUUCUUCCGAUCGGAACCUUAUUUUUCAUUUACAAAUAAAUAAAUGACGUGACUUAACGGGUGGUGGGGUCCUUUGUGCCAUUUGCGUAUUUCACUGAAUAGUUGAUUCAACUUGAUUGUAGCAGGAAGAUUCCUGGAAGUUGCCAUUUGCCAAUGCUACUAACAUUUUUAAACUUAGAAAACCCUUCAAUCAAUCAUUUAGUGGUAGGCUCUGGUAGCUUGCUUUGAUUAUGACAUAUGAUUAUUUGAUAAUAAAGUUAGAGGAUCUUAUUAAAUUCAUCCACAUGAUCCUUCAAGGCUCUGCUGUACGGCCAAGGCGGAUGUACGGUACAGCAGGUGUUGAAGUUAAUUAUCUCAUUAAUAAUAGUAUAAAAAGUUAAUCACUAAGAAACACAUAGCAAUAUUCUGGGAUAUAAUUUUAUAUCAUAACUUUGUAAGUGUAUAAUUACUCAUUAAAUUAACAAAAUUAUUUUAAAAUAUUUAGUUAAAAAAAUAAAUUAUAUUCUUUUUAUUUCAAAUAAUCUAUAAGUUAACACAAAACAUAAUCAAGCUGAGAAUUAAAAUAAUGCUACUGUAUGAGAGGAUUUUUAUUUUUUCCCGAAGUUUCACUAGGAAAUUAUUGAUAUAUAGCUUUAUUCGGAUCAUCUCAGAUCAAACGACAAAUAAUUGAAAGACUAAACUAAAUAGACCAGCCAACAACUUUGUACAGCAGAGUUCAAAAAUUAAGGUCAUGGUAUUGAGGUGUUCUAUCUUCAAAAGUACGGUAUAGUGAUAAAAUAAAAACUAUUAGUCUUUGGUAAGAUAUGACUUUUAAAUAAUAAUUUUCACAAAAAUACAAAGAAUAUUUAUAAAGUACUUCUAUAGUGAGGAGACCCUCGCUUUGUUAAAGUGAAAAUAUCAAUAAUAUACAAGAAACAUAUAUUUUAACACAUUAAGAACUGUAUCUUUUUAAUCUAUUGGUGUAUUGAAAUAUGUGUUAUUUAGUUUGUUAGUGAUAUCAUCACUUUGUUAAAAUAAGGAUGUUAGAACCAUUAUAUAUAAGAAAGCAAAUAUAUUUUGUACGGUAUAAUAGUGUAAUAACAUCACCUUUUUGUAGGGAAAAUUUUUGGAUUGCAAUUCUCAUACAAUACGUAAAAUUAUCAUAAUCUAUAAAUUGUAUUUUUGAUUUUCUGUGGUAGUAAGUUAGACUCCUUAGUGACGAUUUAAAUUGAAAAAAUAAAAUCAUAAAUAAGAAUUAUUUGACAAGAAUUAAAAUAAUUGAUAAAUAUUUGAGAGGAGCAAUUUUGGAAGAUUCGAUUUCUAAUCGGAGGGGAAUUUGAAUUUUACAGCCUUCGGUGAGGAAUCCAAAAUGCACAAUUUGAUGAAAAUUAAAUUUCAAUAGAAAUUGAAUUCCCUUUAUUAGUGAAAACCAAACAACAGAAAAGUGAAAGGAAUUUGAAUUCAUUUCCUUCCUCUCUUCUCCCUCCAACUAAAUACCAUCGAAAUCCAAAGGUAUGGGAUUGGGAUUCCAUACUGAUCAGAAUGGGAUUUGUUCAUAUUAUUAGGACCAAUUUUAAAAGCAGUCGGAGUUUCGGAGUUUAAGAUUGAAAUUAAUCCCAAUUGUUGAUUUGGGACUCGAUAAGAAUUUAUCUUGGAACUCCAAUUCUCCCAAUUAUUUUAGUUGACAAUAUGUUUAACAUUAUUUUUUAAACAUUAUUAAUUGCAUAUUAUUUAAUUAUCAGUAUAUAAUAUUCUUUAAUUUUCUAAUUUUAUAGGAUUAGACACAAAAUUGAUUAUGCCUUUUGAAAUUUAAGUGUUAUGUCAAUUGAAUAGAAAACUUGGAGUAAAACUUUUGGAUGCUUUUGUUGAUUAUCAAUUUAUGCAUGAAUUUUUGUACGUUUAUUUUGGUUUCUUAUUAUUACUUUUAAACAUUUUUAUUGGUUUGAUUUAGGGUUAGUUUGGUAAUCCUGUAUCUUUAAAAUUAAUUACAGUUAGCUAUGCUGUAGAAAUUGAUAAAUCGUGAAAAGAAUCAACCGAACAUUUAGGUGGCGUUUGUUUUUUUGUCUGAAAUCUGAAUAGACCUGAAUUAGUCUGAAUUCUGAAUAGGUCUGAAUGUCUGAAUCUGAAUAAUAUGUUUGUUUUUUCGUCUGAAUCUCGGAAAAUAAGUAUUAAGUUGUUUUUUUUUUCAACUUAAAAAGCUGAAAAUAUGUACUUUUACAUUUGUAUCCUUAUUAAAUUUGAAUGUCAAAUAAAUAAUAUAUUAAAUACCAUAAUAUUUUAACAUUUAUAAGUAAAACUAUAUUCAAGUGAAUACAUAAUUAUUUUGGAAUUUUAAUAUAUAAAAUACCAUAAAUUUCAAAUUUUAUUGUAUAUAAUAUAAGAAAGAAAAAAUAGGGAUAUUUUUAUGUGAGGUAAAUAUCUAUGGGUGAGUUUUGGGAUAGACAUGAAAAAUAAAUUAUAAAACAGGGAUAUUUUUGACAUUAGCAAGCAAUUGACUUAAUUCAUAUUUCUCCAUUAAGUAAAAAGCCAAAAAAAUUAGCUUAUUUUAUUAAGUCAAAAUUAUCUAAAAAGUCUCAUUAAGUUAUAAAAACAAACACGUCUAAUUAACUUAAUUAAUUAAGUUAAGUCACUUUAAGUCAUUAAGUUAAAAAACAAACACCACCUUAGUAAAUUUUAUUUUAAAAAGUACAUUUAGUUUUAAAAUCAGUCGUAUGUGUUUCAUAAAUCUUAUUGUUAAAUCAGUGCAAGAAUGUAAAUGACUGAAUCAGACAUAAUGCUAAAUAAAAUUUAUUUAGACAUUUACAAACACGUAUAUAAAAUAUUUUUAUUACGUACAUAUAAUUAUUGAUAACUAAAAUAAAUAUUUUAUAUUAUUAAAUUUUAUUCUCUAUUUUGUUAUGUCCAUAUAAUUGGUAAUAAUAAUAAUUUCUUUAAAGUUUUGUAGGGAAAAUUUUUAGAUUGCAAUUCUCAUACAAUACAUGGAAUUAUCAUAAUCUAUAAAUUGUAUUUUUGCUUUUCUGUGGUAGUAAGUCAGGCUCCUUAGUGACAAUUUAAAUUGAAAAAAUAAAAUCAUAAAUAAGAAUUAUUUGAUAAGAAUUAAAAUAAUUGAUAAAUAUUUGAGAGGAGCAAUUUUGGAAGAUUCGAUUUCUAAUAGGAGGGGAAUUUGAAUUUUACAGCCUUCGGUGGGGAAUCCAAAAUGCACAAUUUGAUGAAAAUUAAAUUUAAAUAGAAAUUAAAUUCCCAUAUAUUAGUGAAAACCAAACAACAGAAAAGUGAAAGGAGUUUGAAUUUCAGGGUCCAACUACAAUACCUGUGGGGUUUGGUACCCUAUUUUUUGUCUUUUUCAAACCUACCGUUGGAUUUAAUGUAAGAAUUGCGUAAUGGCUGAGAUGUGAUUAUUGGGUUAUUAACAUCAAAGACCCUUAUUGUUCAUGCAAAAUAAACAAAAUCAAAAGUUUUGAAAUUUGACAUAUAAGUCCAUAAUAUUCUCUCUUUUUUUUUUAACUCCAUUGAAAUAGGUUUCCAAUUAAAUGACUUAUUCUUACAUUUAUUAAUAUCUAUUUAAAUUAAUUAAUUAAUUAAUUAACUACUUUGUUAUAUAGUUAAACAAUGCAUGUAUAUUAUUUACUAACCAUAAUUAGUGAUAAGUAUAAAUAUGAUCUUUUUUUUUUAAUUUAACAUAAUGGCAACCAAUUAUCUCUCACCUAUGUGAACAAGGUUCAAAACCCAUAAUUUUGUUUUUCAACACAAGAGAUUUUAUUAUCUCAAGUAGAUGAAAUAUACAAAAUACAAAAAUAAACUUAAUUUCAUAUUCUAUGUAGUUAAUUUUUUUUGUAACAUAAUAUUUAUUAAACAUACUAUCAACUAUUUAAUUAUAUAGUAAAAAUAUGUUAAUUUACUAAUAAUAAUAAAAUGUUAGUUUAUUAACUUGUAAAAUCUUUUUGUUAACAAUGAGUUUUUGUCCUUAAAUAAAUAAUAAUAAUUUAAUUGCACGCUUAAAUAAAUUGGUAUUUGUUACUCCACCCCAACUAUUUAAAUAGUCAUUAACUUAUCGGAGAGAAGGGUAAAAAAAUUCUAAACAAUUACUCUAUUUGAAAAUAAUUUAAAUAUUUCUUUAAAAAAAACUAAAAAUAAGUAUUUUCUAUUCUUUCUUCUUUCUUGCUAACAUCACAGAUGGAUAACAAUAGAGAUGGCAAUUCAACACAUAUCUAUCAAUUAAAAUAGAAGUCAAUUAAUAUAAUUAAGUGAAUAAUUAAUUGUGUCAUGAAUGAAUUAUCAUAUUAGGAGUUUUAAAACCAAACCCAAUAGAAUUAUUAAUCAAGUUAACAGCUAGAAAGAGCAAACAAAUCCAUUCAAGUUGGAUGUCUAAGUAUCUGAUCUGAAUAGAUUGGAUAGUAUCCAUAUAAAAUACUCUGAAUUUGAUUUAUUCAAUAUCCAUCCAUGAACUUGAAUAUUAGUAAUAUUUAAGUGUAUGAGACUAAAAUUAAGUAUUAUAUUUAAUAUUUAAGUUUUGUAAAUCAAAUGAAAAAUCAAAAUAAUAUUGCUAAAAAUUAUUGCACCACCAAUGACAACAAUGACGGUAUCAUCACUAAGAAAUAGACGUGAGUGAACAGAAAAACAAAAAACUAUCAACGUAUUCAAAAUUCUCUGAUCAAUGUAAUGGUGGCAAUGUUGCCGGAUAAAUAGAUAUGUCGGCGAUAGAUGAGCCUUCCAAUGCAAACAACUAUAACAAGACCCUAUGAUUAGAUGACAUUUUAACGCAGGGCGGAAGCGAUACUAGAUUUCGUUCUAUUAUACGUCUUGAAAACUCAAGAAAGAGACUCUCAUCAAAGAGAAGAUAUUUUAAUUGAGAAAAAACUGAAUAUUAUUAAUGAGAAGCUUGUGUCUGUUAUCAUAAAUUAAGAAUAAAAAGCCUAUAUAUAUAAUAGUAGCUAAAUUAAUCCUUAUCUUUCUCAAAUAAGAGAAAUAAUCUAAAAUCCUAAUUAGAUUAGAAUUACAAAUAUGACUCAAGUAAGCUUAAUAAAAUAAGAUAAAUCCUAAUAAAAUACCAAAUUUUAAAUUGACCCAAAUAUUAUAAUUCCUAGUAAAUUCUAAUUUAUUUAUUUUUUUAUAAGUUUGUUUGGUUUUUGGGUGUUUUUUAAAGAACAGAAAAUUAUAGGUAAUAGUAUAAGUAUAGAAAAGUAAAGGGGCAAAAUUAUAAAUAGGCAAAAGUUGGUGUUGCCAGCGACGAUGGUCGAAAAUUUGGCCUAGGAUAGGUGGAUCUAGAAGAUUUGAUGGUGUUGAGUGUGAUGCUGGUGGUGAUUUGUCUCAAAUAGUUGUGAUUUGACUGAAAAGUUGAGUUAAAGUAGUGGGUGGAGGUUGGUUUCAGUUUCUGGCGAUCCGGCCGAGGGUUGGCAGCGUGAGUGGGUUGAAAAGAAAGAGCUGAUGAUCGUGGAGGAAUGGGUGGUGGUGGAGGCUGUGAAUCGUAACGGAUUGCAGCGAAUAGAGAGGUGGAUUUUCGUGGUGGUUCAGCGGUUGUUUUGGCUAGUUUCCCGUGGCUACGGUGACGGGAUGGUGGUGUUAUGGGUUGGGUUAUGAUUGGCGACGUGAGGGCUUUUGGAUGGGAGAGAGGAUCGACCAAAAAGAAGAGAAACCAGUGGCGGCGGCAGCCGUGUGGCACGGAUGUGAUGGUAGCUUCGGGUUUUGUUGGGUUUUUUUUUUUAACUUGAUGGAACUAAUGUACGAAGUUGGUGGUCGAGAAUGCUCUGCCUAGUGCAGAAAAAAGCUCUAAUAUGAUUUAUGUCUUGAAAACUUUAAAAAGAUGCUCUCACCAAGGAGAAGAUAUCUCAAUUAUGAAAAAAUUAAAAAUUAUUAAUAAGAAGUUUGUGUCUGUUAUCAUAAAUUAAGAAUAACAAGUUUAUAUAUAUAAUAGUAGCUAAUCUUUCUCAAAUAAGAGAAAUAAUCUGAAAUCCUAAUUAGGUUAGAAUUACAAAUAUGACUCAAGUAAGCUUAAUAAAUAAGAUAAAUUUUAAUAAAAUAUUAAAUUUUAAAUUGACCCAAAUAUUAUAAUUUCUAGUAAAUUCUAAUUCAUUUUAUCUAAUAUGCUUCCUACAUCACGUUUUAAGGUUCAUUGCCUUUAACAACCAAAUUGAGGGUCUCUAAAUUUAAAAAAGAAAAAGAAAAGAAAACAAAAGGUGGUAGUGUAAUGUAACUCCUUGUGUUUUUGUGGUAUAGUUAUUGUUGCAGUUAUUUUAGAAGGAGCAUGCAACUUUACAUAUCACCAUUUGCUAGCAUUGAGACUAUCUUUAUGUAAAUCAUCCAAUUUCAAAUAUAAUGGAACCCUUCAUGUCCCCUUUCGAUUAAAAAUAUCAUUGCACGCGAAGAAACAGUAGUCACUAGUGAUUGUUUUAAUACAAAAUAUCUUUUUAUAAUUAAUUAAAAAAUAAGAAUAAAAAAUUUAUUUUAUUAUUCUGUUUCUAUAUGGAAAAUAAUUUUAAUUACCUUUUAAUUAAAAUGGGUGAGAAAAAUGAUGUCAUUGAUGGUGCAAAAUGGAUGAGAAAAAUGAUACUGUGUUGGUGUAGGACUAAUGCGUAAAAUUUUAAAAAUUUUCAACAUUUUCAUUUUUAUAACAAAUACCAGGACACUAUUAUAAUUGACCUUUAAAAAGACAAAAGAGAGGGGUACCAAAGGCAUGUUGCAAUGUAGCUUUGCCCUUGAAUUCAUUAAUUUUCUAAUUUUAUAGGAUUAGACACAAAAUUGAUUAUGCCUUUUGAAAUUUAAGGGUUAUGUCAAUUGAACAGAAAACUUGGAGUUAAACUUUUGGUUGUUUUUGUUGAUUAUCAAUUUAUGCAUGAAUGUUUGUACAUUUACUUUGGUUUAUUAUUAUUACUUUUAAACAUUUUUAUUGGUUUGAUUUAGGGUCAGUUUGGUAAUUUUAUUUUUAAAAUAAUUACAGUUAGUUAUGCUGUAGAAAUUGAUCAAUUGUGAAGAGAAUCAGCUGAACAUUUAGUAAAAUUUAUUUUUAAAAGUACUUUUAGUUUUAAAAGCAGACGUAUGUGUUUCGUAAAUUUUAUUAUUAAACUGGUGAAAAAAUAUAAAUGACUGAAUUGAACAUAAUGCUAAAUAAAAUUUAUUUACACAUUUACAAACAUGUAUAUAAAAUAUUUUUAUUAUGUAUAUAUAAUUAUUGAUAACUAAAAUAAAUAUUUUAUAUUAUUAAAUUUUAUUCUCUAUUUUGUUAUCUCAAUAUAAUUGGUAAUAAUAAUAAUAAUCUAUUUUAAGUUAAUGAUUUUAUUUCUUAAUUCAUAAAGAUAAUUUUGGAUUUUUAUUAUAUAAUGAGGAUAUAUAUAGAAUUGGAUUAAGUAUAAAAGUAAUUCUCAAAAUCAAAUUUUGAAAAACUAUUCAUUCACUACUUUUCAAAAUCUACUGUAUGAUGAGAUGAUUUUACCGAAAGUAAUUACUAAAAAAAUUUAUAAAACACUAAAACUUAGCUUUUAUGGUAUGUUUACUUCAUGGAAUGAGGAAUGUGAAUGAAAGAAUGAGAAUGAAACCCAUGUUUACUUGGCAAAAUAUAAUUUGGGAAUGAGAAUAAAAUGUGUGGAUCUCACACAAUUUGAGAAUAAGGAAUGGGAAUCCCAAGCCCAUGAGGGGUUGGGAAUAAAAAUGAGGGAAUGAGAAUGAAAUAUAUAUUUACUUUUGUAUCCCUCUAAUUUUUUCAUAUUUCCUAAAUUACCCUCAUUCAAAUCACAAUUAAUUUUAUUAUUUAAAAUUUCAUUAAUAAUAAUAAUAAUAUUAUUAUUAAAUUUUAUUAACUUUAUUAUUUUAGUUAUUAUUAAUUAUUUUUAUUAAUAUUAUUAUUAUUAACAAUAAAAAUAAUGAUAAAAAUAAUAAUUAAUAAAAAAUAAUUAAUUUAUCAUUAUUAACAAUAUUAUCAUUAUUUUUGUUAUUAUUAUUAUUAUUAUUAAAAAUAAUAAUAACAAUAAGUAAUAAUAACUAAAAUAAUAAAGUUAAUAAAAUUUAAUAAUAAUAAUAAUAAAUGUUAAUAAUGAUAAUAUUAAUAAAAAUAAUAUUAACAAUAAUUAAUAAUAACUAAAAUAAUAGAGUUAAUAAAAUUUAAUAAUAUUUUAUUAACUCUAUUAUUUUAGUUAUUAUUAAUUAUUGUUAAUAUUAUUUUUAAUAGUAAUAAUAGUAAUAAUAACAACAAUAAUGAUAAAUUAAUUAUUUUUAUUAAUUAUUAAUACUAUGGGUAUUAUGGUAAAUUGAUUCUCAUUCUCAUUUAUUUUGCCAAGUAAACACAUCAAUUGCAUUCCAGCACAUUCCCAUUCCCAUUUAUUUUUGCCAAGUAAACAUUGAAAUCUCAUUCCCAUUCCUCAUUUCCUUUCCAGUCCAUUCCCAUUCCACCUCAUUCUUAUUCCAAGAAGUAAACGCACCAUUAAUAUUUAAAAUCACUUUUGAGAUUCCCAAAAACAAUCCUAACAUGCCUUUAUUUGGGUGGUGUUAGAACUUUUAGUUUUUAAAUUUAUAAAACAUUAAAAAUUAGCUUUUAGUUUUUAAAAUCACUUUUGAGCUUCCCAAAAACAAUCCUAACAUGCCUUUAUUUGGGUGGUGUUAGAACUUUUAGUUUUUAAAUUUAUAAAACAUUAAAAAUUAGCUUUUAGUUUUUAAAAUCACUUUUGAGCUUCCCAAAAACAAUCCUAACAUGCCUUUAUUUGGGUGGUGUUAGAACUUUUAGUUUUUAAAUUUAUAAAACAUUAAAAAUUAGCUUUUAGUUUUUAAAAUCACUUUUGAGCUUCCCAAAAACAAUCCUAACAUGCCUUUAUUUGGGUGGUGUUAGAACUUUUAGUUUUUAAAUUUAUAAAACAUUAAAAAUUAGCUUUUAGUUUUUAAAAUCACUUUUGAGCUUCCCAAAAACAAUCCUAACAUGCCUUUAUUUGGGUGGUGUUAGAACUUGUAACUUUUGGAUCUUUUAGUUUUUAUUGGUUGGAUACAAUAUUGUGACUUGAGCGUCGGAGGGUUUUCACCGGAAAAACUUCUAGCGCCCCCUGACUGUUCUUUGUGCUUGCAUGCUCGCGGGUUAUCUGCUCAUGGAUCAUCUGCUCAUAGAACAUCUGCUCACGGUGCUCACUGAUCAGCAGCUCGUGGAUUAUCUGCUCAUGGUGCUCACUAAUCAGCAGCUCAUAGAUUAUCGGCUCAUGAAUUAUCUGCUCAUGGUUAGAGGAUUUUCUUGAAGAUUAAUAAGCCGCUUCUUCACCAAACAAAUUUAUUGUUGAUGCGGGGAUGUGGUUUUGAGUCAACAACCAACUCAACCAGAUUUCUGCAUCAACAUAAAGUAUUAAUCAGCUUAAUUAAUUUAUAAAAUUUAAAUCUAAUUAAUAAGUGACACAUAAAUGCCAAGUGCAAUAUAUGCAAAUCAUGUUUGUCGAUCAUUACAAAACUGGCUCUUGAAAACAAGCAAGAAAGCUUAAUUAAGAACUUAAAACAAAAAGAAUUAGAUUGAGGACAGUCAAGCCUUAUUUUUUCAAGGAUGGAGCUUAUAAAUCUUCAAGUACCAACAUAUGCUUGGCCCAAUUGUUGUUAUUAAAAUUUCAAAAUAUAAGUAUGACAUAGCAAAAAUUUGAUGGUACAUGUGUCGGAAUAUACUAGCUAGUUCAUGGAUGCAUUUGAUUAUUGUUUCCAUAAAUUUGAACCAAGAAGGAUGACACAAUAAAAUUUGAUUUUAUUAUAUGGUUGAUUUCAUAUCUCAUGCACUCAUUUCUUAAGAUAAUCAGAUUUUCUCUGACAUCUUUUGCAAAUGUGGAAAUAUCAAUUAUGAUCAAUCAAAACGAUCUCAAAACCUUUCAACGAGACAUAUUCAUAAUACAAUAUUGUGAAAAUUACACCAAAAAUUUGAUUUAUUAUAUAUUAUUAUCCAACGAGCACACAAAAAUGAAUUCAUACAAAUCUAAAAUACUUAGCAAUUUUCAAAUAGAAUUUACCAUGUACUACAAGAAAAUAUGGUAUAUGUGACCCCUAAUGCGAAUGCAAAAGCAGCCAUUACGUAUAUCACUAAGAGCCUGUUUGGUAUGGCUUAUUUAAGAGCCAUAAGUGCUUAUUUAAUCGUAUAAGCGCUUUUUAAAAUUUUUUAUGGUGUUUGGUUAUUUUUUUAAUAGAGUUUUUUUAGCUUAAAUAAGCUAAUUUACCUCUACUAGGAAAAGCCCAAAAUUUGAGCUUUUGGGAGUAGAGGUUAUAAAGCUUUUCUAAAUAUAUAUAAUAUAAAAAAUAUCAUAUAGUUUAAUGGUUCAAAAGUGCUUUUUUUAUUGACAACCAAACACCCAAUGACACUGCUGUCACAUAUGUUACUAACCACGUGACGGUAAAGAGCCGUUCGGUAUACUACUAUUUUAGAAUUUUAAAUUUAUUUCCAGUUAGAAAACUAUUCGCUGGACUCCAUCGUAAACCUAACUGGUUGCCGGCGAACGGCGUAAAACACCGGGCAUCUUCUUCUUCAUCGUAUUCUCCCUUCAUCUUUUGAGUUAAGCUUGUGAUUAUGAGUUUCUUCUCUUACUUAGCUUGUAAUUAUAGAUUUUGAUUCUUUUUAAUUCGUAUUGUAGUCGUUAUUGUCAAUUUUUGUCUCGCCAGCAAUUGUUUUUAUUCCUACAAGUUGAAGCCCCUGUGUUCUUGUUCCAUUGGUGUGUUUGCUCACUCAAAUUAAUUUUGUUCUACAAAGUUCAAAUGGAUUCAUUUGAAUUACUAUUGAAUUUAGCUUUAAUUCCAACAUCCAUUCUAAUGUUUUGCUAUUAGAUUUACUUUAAUUUUAUGUUUAAAGCUUCUACAAUGAAUAGCGGAGCUUGGGUUUUAGUUUCAUUUUCUAGAUAACUUGUUUAUCUUGUAUGCUCACCAAGUGCAUGUUAUAUUGUCUGAUAAGUUAUAUAUAUUGCUGAUUCUAUAUUAAUAAUGUUACGUUCUAUUUUCAGAAAUUAUAAUAUAAACUGAAUUAACUUGUAGAAUAAGAGCUUGGAGUAGUGUUAUGUUCUUGAAUAAAUGAAAGUCCAUAUUGUGUAAGAGCAUGUAGAUGUAAAGCGCAUUGCCAUUUCUAUAAAGGACUUUCAUUCUGUUCAGAUGCUCCUCUUGAACUCUGAAAGGUGCCUCAUUCAAGUCCUAGCUAUAACUACUAGCUUUGAUUAAUUAAUUUCCUGUACUAGCAGAAACAGAUUUAUUUAUUUAAAUAAUUGUCUAUGUACUAAUUAUAAUGAAAGUAUAUGAAGAAAUUUUUUAACAUGAAUGACUUCUAAAUGACUUAAAAACCUAAAGGAUAUGAGAAAUAAUGCUCAUUUCACUUGAACGAGCCUAUUAAUACUUGUAUGUCUAUGAUUGUUAAUAUUGGCUUAAGCAUUUCAGUUAAAUGGUUUACAUAACAGGGAAAAAAAUUUAAAUGAAAACUUUAGAGUUCUAACAGAAAUAUAAUUGACUAUGCAGAUAUAGUUAUUUUAUGGUAUACAAAUCAUGUUGCCUUAAUCUCAAUGUCCUAUGACCUAUUUUAUUUUAUAUAGUCAUUCAUUUUUGCCAUGGCUUUUUGUUUUUAUGAGUAUGGAAAUAGUGGGAUUUGGUGUAUCUUAGCAUCUUUGGAAAAUUCUCUUUAAAUGUGGCAAACAAAAAUAUACAUAUAAUCAAGUUUCUUAAUCAACUAUCAUAACUGGCUAGCAUGAUGAUUUUAUAGCAACAAGGAGGCCAAGAAGAGAGAUAAAGAAACCUGGAUGACUUACUAAAGAUAUAGUGGUAGCCUAUGCACUUCCAGUUAUUGAUGAUGACAUCCCCAACACUUUCGGUGAAGCAUUACACAGCAGUGAAAGUGAUCAGUGGAAGUUAGCCAUGGAGGAAGAGAUGAAAUCUCUGCUGUACGGCCAAGGCGGAUGUACGGUACAGCAGAAACAAAAAUAUACAUAUAAUCAAGUUUCUUAAUCAACUAUCAUAACUGGCUAGCUAGUUCUUGCCUGCCUUGCUGCCAUUACCCAGGCCAUUACAUUGCAUAGCAUAAGGAAUAGUGAUUAGGUGCUUAUUAGUGAUUCGUUGAGCUUAUUAUUGACAAACCAACAUAUUCGCCUUUACCCACAACUUAGUUUGAUUAGUUAUUGUUGUGUAAUAGACCAAGUUCGUAACCCAACUGAAGCAAUUAAUCAGAUUUACAAAACAAGCAAGAACCCAGAAAACGAACCAGGGGAUACAGUCAAGUAACCAAGAACAAGAAAGAAAACUUAAUCAAGAGAUACAAAACAGAGGUUAACGUGGUUCAGUACCAUGAGUACUUACAUCCACGAUCAGGAACAGUAGAGCUAAAGCUUUAUUAGGAGAUAUCAAGAUUACAAUGGAAUCCACUCAGAGCAAGAAACUAAACUCACACAGAGAAUCUUUCUCAACUCACAAACUAUCUCACUUGACUAACUGAUCAGCUCUCUCUCUCACUGAAGCUAUAAAGCUAGCAGUUUACAGCUGGUUAUAACGACUAACUAAAACCACCUGGGGACCCACCCAUGCUGACUCAGCUUUCCAGCUCAGCUAAUAUAUAUAACCGAAUGUAACUAACUUGAUUCCACAAAUCUCCACCUUAGUUAACUCGGUUAUGGCUUUACUCAUCACUGCUCCAUCACCAGUUAACUUGUCUCACAAGUUAAUAACCCCAAUCAAGUCCAAGGAGUUCCUGAACUUAACUGUUGGCAAAGGUUUUGUUAGCAUGUCUGCUGGAUUUACUUCAGUAGGAAUUUUAAUGACAUUGAUUACACCAUUUCGAAUUUCUUCCCUGAUAAAGUGCAUCCUCACAUCCACAUGUUUUGUUCUUUCAUGGUACUUGGGGUUUUUGCUCAACUGUAUAGCACUUGAGCUAUCACAAUUGACAGUGACUGAUUCUUGUUCCAAACCCAGUUUUGUAACUAACCCCUUCAACCAUAAUGCUUCUUUCACAGCCUCUGUUAAAGCAAUAUACUCUACCUCUGUUGUUGAGAGAGCAAUUACUGAUUGUAAUGUUGACUUCCAGCUCACAGCUCCACCACAGAGAGUAAACACAAGACCAGUGACUGACCUUCUCCUAUCUAAAUCUCCUGCAAAGUCAGAAUCAACAGAUCCCACAACUUGGCUAGAUGCAUUACUAACUUGUCCAAACAUUACUCCAUACUCUUCAGUACUUUUAAGAUACCUCAGUAGCCAUUUAACAGCUUCCCAAUGUUCCUUGUCUGGAUUCCCCAUGAACCUGCUGACAAGACCAAUUCCAUAGGCAACAUCUGGUCUGGUACAGACCAUAGCAUACAUAAUGCUACCAACUGCACUGGAGUAGGAAUUCUCCUCAUGAGAUCAAUGUCUGCUUCUUCUCCUGGUUCCUGCUGUUUAGAAAGUUUGAAGUGUGCUGCUACUGGGGUAGUGACAGGCUUUGAGUUCACCAUCCCAAAUCUACUGACAACCUUUUUCAAAUAUCCAGAUUGUGUGAGAAAUAGAGUCUUGGCAUGUCUGUCCCUUUUGAUUUGCAUUCCCAGUAUCUUAGCAGCAGGACCCAAAUCCUUUAUUUCAAACACUGCCAUUAGCUCAGUCUUGAGCUUCUCAACUUCUGCUCUAUGUUUACAUGCUAUAAGCAUGUCAUCAACAUAGAGGAGUAGACUGAUUUGAUCACCUAAGUUCAGCUUCCUGAAGUAAACACAAUUGUCAUAUUCACUUCUGCUGAAGUUGUGAUUCAGCAUGAACUCAUCAAACUUUAAGUACCAUUGCCGAGGAGACUGCUUCAAUCCAUACAAGCUUUUCUUGAGUAAGCAAACCAUGUCUUCAGUUCCUUCCUCAAUAAAGCCUUCUGGCUGAGCCAUCAGGAUUUCUUCUUCUAAGUUUCCAUGUAAAAAAGCAGUCUUCACAUCCAUCUGGUCCAAUUCUAAAUCAAAGUAGGCUGUGAUGGCUAAUAGAACCCUUAUAGAGGAAUGUUUCACAACAGGUGAGAAGACUUCAUUGAAGUCUAUCCCUUCCUUUUGUGUGAACCCCUUUGCCACAAGCCUGGCUUUAUACCUCACUGAUUUACUUCCAGCAACUCCCUCCUUGAGUUUAAAGAUCCAUUUGCAGCCCACCAACCUUCUUCCAGCAGGCCUCUGAACUAGCACCCAAGUGUUAUUGUCUUUGAGUGAUGCCAUUUCUUCUUUCAUAGCACUCAGCCAUUUUAGCUUAUCUCUGCUAUUUAUAGCCUGCUUGUAGCUUUUAGGUUCUUCUCCAGUCAUCUCAUUAGCAACCAUUAGUGCAUAGGAUAUUAAGUCAGCAAUCCCAUAUCUUUUGGGCAGUUUAACUACCCUCCUUUCUCUAUCCCUCGCAAGCUGAUAGUUAUCAAGUUCUGAUGUUGUAGUACUUUCUUGAUGGUGCUCAGUCAUCUCUUUACUUACUUCCAAAUUGUCUCUGGACUCCACCUUCAACUUAGAUCUCUUUUGAGGUUCAGAUAUUUCAACUUCUGUUCCAACCUUCUGCUGCAACAUAGCUUCCUCAUUAAACACUACAUCUCUACUAAUCAAGGUUCUGGAUGGCUUGCCAUCAAUGCACCAGAUUUUGUACCCCUUUAUGCCUUCAGGAUACCCAAUGAAGUAUCCUUUCACAGCCCUUGGUUCUAGCUUGCCCUGACUUAUAUGAGCAUAAGCUGGGCAGCCAAACACCCUGAGAUUACCAAGAUUUGGUGGCUUCCCUGACCAUGCUUCUUGUGGUGUUUUGAAAUCUAAAGCUGAUGAGGGGCUCCUAUUUAUUAGAUAUGCAGCUGUAUUAACUGCCUCAGCCCAAAAAUGCUUUGACAGAUUUGCAUUAAACAGCAUGCAUCUGACCUUUUCAAUUAAGGUUCUAUUCAUCCUUUCAGCCAAGCCAUUUUGCUGGGGAGUGUGUCUCACUGUCCUAUGUCUUGCAAUGCCCUUUGAUUUACAAAAAUUUUCAAAGUCACUGCUGCAGAAUUCCAGGCCAUUAUUAGUCCUCAGCCUUUUAAGCUUCUUUUCUGUUUGGGUUUCCAUAAGUGCAGUCCACUCUUUAAACCUUUCAAAUGCUUCACUCUUAUGCUUCAGCACAUAGACCCACACUCUUCUAGAGUAAUCAUCUAUGAAUGUGAUGAAGUACCUAGCUCCACCAUGAGAGGGAACUUGGGAUGGUCCCCAAAGGUCUGAGUGAACAUAGUCUAAGGUCUGUUUUGUUUCCUGUCUACCAGAGUUGAACUUUUGCCUUGUGGCUUUACCGAACACACAUUUUUCACAAAAUUGUAGUGAGGUGAUUUGAUCAUUUCCUAGCAGCCCUUGCUUACUUAAUUCUCUCAACCCCCUUUCACUCAUGUGUGCUAGCCUCAUGUGCCAAAGUUUGGUUUUAUCACUGCUUACACUAGCUGUGAUUGCUGGCAUAGUUGUUGAGCCAGCAAGUACAUAUAAACCAUUCCUCCUUAUGCCUUUCAUUAUAAUCAGGCCUUUAUCUUCAAUUUGAAGAUUUCCAUUUUCUGCUUUUAUACUACAGCCCCUCUGAUCCAUAACUCCUAAAGAUAUUAGAUUUCUUUUUAAUUCUGGAACAUAUCUGACCUGAUAGCCUGCUUGUAGCUUUUAGGUUCUUCUCCAGUCAUCUCAUUAGCAACCAUUAGUGCAUAGGAUAUUAAGUCAGCAAUCCCAUAUCUUUUGGGCAGUUUAACUACCCUCCUUUCUCUAUCCCUCGCAAGCUGAUAGUUAUCAAGUUCUGAUGUUGUAGUACUUUCUUGAUGGUGCUCAGUCAUCUCUUUACUUACUUCCAAAUUGUCUCUGGACUCCACCUUCAACUUAGAUCUCUUUUGAGGUUCAGAUAUUUCAACUUCUGUUCCAACCUUCUGCUGCAACAUAGCUUCCUCAUUAAACACUACAUCUCUACUAAUCAAGGUUCUGGAUGGCUUGCCAUCAAUGCACCAGAUUUUGUACCCCUUUAUGCCUUCAGGAUACCCAAUGAAGUAUCCUUUCACAGCCCUUGGUUCUAGCUUGCCCUGACUUAUAUGAGCAUAAGCUGGGCAGCCAAACACCCUGAGAUUACCAAGAUUUGGUGGCUUCCCUGACCAUGCUUCUUGUGGUGUUUUGAAAUCUAAAGCUGAUGAAGGGCUCCUAUUUAUUAGAUAUGCAGCUGUAUUAACUGCCUCAGCCCAAAAAUGCUUUGACAGAUUUGCAUUAAACAGCAUGCAUCUGACCUUUUCAAUUAAGGUUCUAUUCAUCCUUUCAGCCAAGCCAUUUUGCUGGGGAGUGUGUCUCACUGUCCUAUGUCUUGCAAUGCCCUUUGAUUUACAAAAAUUUUCAAAGUCACUGCUGCAGAAUUCCAGGCCAUUAUUAGUCCUCAGCCUUUUAAGCUUCUUUUCUGUUUGGGUUUCCAUAAGUGCAGUCCACUCUUUAAACCUUUCAAAUGCUUCACUCUUAUGCUUCAGCACAUAGACCCACACUCUUCUAGAGUAAUCAUCUAUGAAUGUGAUGAAGUACCUAGCUCCACCAUGAGAGGGAACUUGGGAUGGUCCCCAAAGGUCUGAGUGAACAUAGUCUAAGGUCUGUUUUGUUUCCUGUCUACCAGAGUUGAACUUUUGCCUUGUGGCUUUACCGAACACACAUUUUUCACAAAAUUGUAGUGAGGUGAUUUGAUCAUUUCCUAGCAGCCCUUGCUUACUUAAUUCUCUCAACCCCCUUUCACUCAUGUGUGCUAGCCUCAUGUGCCAAAGUUUGGUUUUAUCACUGCUUACACUAGCUGUGAUUGCUGGCAUAGUUGUUGAGCCAGCAAGUACAUAUAAACCAUUCCUCCUUAUGCCUUUCAUUAUAAUCAGGCCUUUAUCUUCAAUUUGAAGAUUUCCAUUUUCUGCUUUUAUACUACAGCCCCUCUGAUCCAUAACUCCUAAAGAUAUUAGAUUUCUUUUUAAUUCUGGAACAUAUCUGACCUGAUUUGGAUCCCUUUCAAUGCCAUCAAACAUCCUAAUGCUAAUGGUGCCAAUUCCAGCUACCUUACAGGCAAGAUUGUUCCCAAGCAAGACUUUUCCACCAUCAAUGCUUUCAAAAGUCUUAAAGAAAUCUACAUUUGGACACAUAUGGAAGGAGCAACCUGAGUCAAGAAUCCACUCACCUGAAGAUUGCUUUUCUGCAGCAAUGAGGACAUCUGCAUCAUCUGACAUCCCUUCAUCUUCAGAGGCUACAGCAGCUUUUCCAUUAGAUUCCUUUUGCAAUUUCUCAAGCUUCUUCUUCUCAAAACAAUCCUUGAUGUAAUGACCUUCCUUUUGACAAAAGUAACAUUUUCUCUUCUUUUUCUUCUUGUCUGGUUUAUCUUUCUGGUUGCUGUUCUUCUUGUCUUUGUAGAAUUUCUUAUCUGGUUUUGCUUUUGCAACUAAGCUUUCUGCAGGGUUUUGAUCCUUCCCAUCUAUUCUUCUCUUCAAGUCCUUUGAUUCCAGGGCAUUCUUUACAUCCUUUAAUGUAAGUGUUUGUCUUCCAUAAAGCAAUGUAUCAACAAAAUGUUCGUAAGAGUCUGGGAGUGAGCUUAAUAGGAUUAGGGCCCUAUCUUCAUCUUCAAGAACUAUAUUCACAUUUUCAAGGUCUAGGAUCAGCUUAUUAAAUUCAUCCACAUGAUCCUUCAAGGCUGUUCCAUCCUUCAUUGAAAAUGUGUAUAGCUUUCUUUUCAUAUACAGUCUCUUGGCUAGGGAUUUCUUUAAAAAUAAUUCUUCCAGUUUCUCCCAUAGACCAGAAGCAGUCUUUUCUUUAGACACCUCUCUUAGCACUUCAUCCGAGAGAUGUAGGAUGAUAGUGCUAUGAGCUUUGUUGUUGAUAGUCUUCAUGUCUCUGCCAGAGCUGGAUGAUCAUUCUUCCUUCCCUUUCUUGGCCUUUGAAUCUUCAUCUUCUUCAAGAGCAGCAUCCAAUCCUUGUUGAAUCAAGAUUGCCCUCAUUUUGAGACUCCACAAAUAGAAGUCAUUGUCCCCAUUAAACUUCUCCAGAUCGAAUCUUGUAGAUGCCAUUGGAGGAUUUCAAAGAGCUUGAUAGAUGACCAAGCUCUGAUACCAGUUUGUUGUGUAAUAGACCAAGUUCGUAACCCAACUGAAGCAAUUAAUCAGAUUUACAAAACAAGCAAGAACCCAGAAAACGAACCAGGGGAUACAGUCAAGUAACCAAGAACAAGAAAGAAAACUUAAACAAGAGAUACAAACAGAGGUUAACGUGGUUCAGUACCAUGAGUACUUACAUCCACGAUCAGGAACAGUAGAGCUAAAGCUUUAUUAGGAGAUAUCAAGAUUACAAUGGAAUCCACUCAGAGCAAGAAACUAAACUCACACAGAGAAUCUUUCUCAACUCACAAACUAUCUCACUUGACUAACUGAUCAGCUCUCUCUCUCACUGAAGCUAUAAAGCUAGCAGUUUACAGCUGGUUAUAACGACUAACUAAAACCACCUGGGGACCCACCCAUGCUGACUCAGCUUUCCAGCUCAGCUAAUAUAUAUAACCGAAUGUAACUAACUUGAUUCCACAAAUCUCCACCUUAGUUAACUCGGUUAUGGCUUUACUCAUCACUGCUCCAUCACCAGUUAACUUGUCUCACAAGUUAAUAACCCCAAUCAAGUCCAAGGAGUUCCUGAACUUAACUGUUGGCAAAGGUUUUGUUAGCAUGUCUGCUGGAUUUACUUCAGUAGGAAUUUUAAUGACAUUGAUUACACCAUUUCGAAUUUCUUCCCUGAUAAAGUGCAUCCUCACAUCCACAUGUUUUGUUCUUUCAUGGUACUUGGGGUUUUUGCUCAACUGUAUAGCACUUGAGCUAUCACAAUUGACAGUGACUGAUUCUUGUUCCAAACCCAGUUUUGUAACUAACCCCUUCAACCAUAAUGCUUCUUUCACAGCCUCUGUUAAAGCAAUAUACUCUACCUCUGUUGUUGAGAGAGCAAUUACUGAUUGUAAUGUUGACUUCCAGCUCACAGCUCCACCACAGAGAGUAAACACAAGACCAGUGACUGACCUUCUCCUAUCUAAAUCUCCUGCAAAGUCAGAAUCAACAGAUCCCACAACUUGGCUAGAUGCAUUACUAACUUGUCCAAACAUUACUCCAUACUCUUCAGUACUUUUAAGAUACCUUAGUAGCCAUUUAACAGCUUCCCAAUGUUCCUUGUCUGGAUUCCCCAUGAACCUGCUGACAAGACCAAUUCCAUAGGCAACAUCUGGUCUGGUACAGACCAUAGCAUACAUAAUGCUACCAACUGCACUGGAGUAGGAAUUCUCCUCAUGAGAUCAAUGUCUGCUUCUUCUCCUGGUUCCUGCUGUUUAGAAAGUUUGAAGUGUGCUGCUACUGGGGUAGUGACAGGCUUUGAGUUCACCAUCCCAAAUCUACUGACAACCUUUUUCAAAUAUCCAGAUUGUGUGAGAAAUAGAGUCUUGGCAUGUCUGUCCCUUUUGAUUUGCAUUCCCAGUAUCUUAGCAGCAGGACCCAAAUCCUUUAUUUCAAACACUGCCAUUAGCUCAGUCUUGAGCUUCUCAACUUCUGCUCUAUAGCCUUUCGUAUGAUAGUUGCUGGUUGUCAUACGGCAGUGUUAUUUGUAUGUUUGCUUUGUCGUUUCUCAUCCAAUUCUGGAAACGACAAAGUCGUCUCCUUCAGAAGGUUCUGAUUCAGGUUCACAUUUAACAAUCUCCACCUUGAAUCUGAAUCACAGCACUCCUAUGGCUUCUUCUUCUCGAGCUUCUGUAUCUUCAUAUUCUACAGAUGCCAGCUAAGUCUAAGCAGUGCUCAAACUUAGCCAUUGGAACUGGCUUUGUCAACAUAUCAGCAACAUUGUUACUGGUAUGAACCUUUACAAGCUUCAUAGUUCCUUUAGAGACUUCCAGCCUGAUGAAAUGGAGCUUGAUGUCGAUGUGCUUGGUCUUUUCAUGAUGGACUUGAUUUUUGCUCAGACUGAUAGCACUUUGACUGUCACAUAGAAUUGGUAUGGAUGUUUGUUGAUACCCCAAUUCAUUUAUCAUGCCCCUUAACCAUAUUGCUUCUUUGAAGGCCUCUACAGCAGCUGUGUACUCUGCCUCUGUUGUAGAUAGGGCCACUACACUUUGAAGUGAUGCUUUCCAGCUGAUUGUGCAGUUAUUAAGUGUGAAGAGAAACCCAGUGAGUGAUCUUCUGUUGUCUAGAUCUCCUGCAUAAUCAGAGUCAACAGAACCCUCAACCAGAUUGUAGUUAGCUCUCUCCCCUCCAUACAGCAGACCAUACCUUGUAAUCCCUUUUAGAUACCUCAGUAUCCAUUUCACAGCCCUCCAGUGUUCUUUCCCUGGAUUUGACAUAAACCUGCUGACCAGGCUUACUGCAUAUGACAAAUCAGGUCUUGUUAAGACCAUUGCAUACAUUAGGCAGCCCACUGAGUUAGCAUAUGGAGUUUUCAACAUUUCAGUUUGUUCUGAUUCAGUGCUUGGGCACUGCUGACUUGAUAACCUGAAAUGAGCUGCCAUUGGAGUGGACACUGGUUUACAGUUCAGCAUCCCAAACUUCUCUAAAAUUUUGUUGACAUAUUUUUCUUGUGAUAGAAACAAGGUCCUGGCUGUUCUGUUCCUUAUCAUUUCAACACCUAAGAUCUUUUUUGCUGGGCCAAGAUCUUUCAUGUCAAACUUAUCUCUGAGUUGUUGCUUCAGCAGAUUGAUCAACUUCAUACUUUUACUUGCCAGAAGCAUGUCAUCAACAUACAGGACAAGAUAGAUCACUUCCUCCCCGUAGGUCUUUCUGAGAUAUACACAGCAGUCAUAACUGGAUUUCUGGAAAUUCAGUUCUUGCAUGUAGCUGUCAAAUUUCAAGUACCACUGUCUGGGGGACUGCUUGAGCCCAUACAAAGAUUUUUGAAGUAAGCAAACCCAAUCAGGAUGUUGAGUAUUCACAAAGCCCUCAGGUUGUGACAUUACAAUCUCCUCUUGUAGAUCACCAUGUAGGAAGGCUGUUUUAACAUCUAAUUGUUCAAGAUGCAUAUCAUAAACAGCUACCAGUGACAGAAUAAUCCUUAUUGAUGUGUGUCUGACUACAAGUGAGAAGACUUCAGUGUAAUCAACCCCUUCCCUUUGGGUAAAGCCCUUUGCUACCAAUCUUGCUUUGAAUCUCUUUGGUUCAACAUCAUGGAUUCCAUCUUUUAUUUUGUAGAUCCAUUUGCAACCCACAACCUUCCUUCCUUCUGGUUUUUUGAAUCAAUUUCCAGGUGCCAUUCUUAUUUAGAGAGUCCAUCUCAUCUUCCAUGGCCUUGAUCCAUUGAGUUGAUUCUUUACAUGCUAUAGCUUCUUCAUAAGUUUUUGGUUCCUCUUGAUCAACCUCCUGUGCUGCUGUCAAGGCAUAUGCUAUUAAGUCAGCAUAUCCCAAUCUCUCUGGUGCUUUAAUUUGUCUCUUCUGUCUGUCUCUGGUAAGCUGAUAAUCUUGUAUUGAGAUGUGCUCUAGUGUUUGAGCACUGGUCUCAUCUGAGCCUUGAGUUUCUCCAGUAUGACUUGUGUUCUGAUCAUCCUCAGUUUUUGAUAGCUCCACCUCAAAGUGAGGUGUCUCUGCACUUGGGAUUUUCUGAAUUGAGCUUUGAGUAGAAGUCUGAUUUUUCAGCAUCUCAGACUCAUUGAAAAUAACAUCCCUGCUUAUUAUGCACUUAGGUGGUUUAAGGUCUACACACCACAGCCUGUAACCCUUAGUUCCACUAGGAUACCCUAGGAAAGCACAUUUCAAUGCCCUUGGUUCAAGCUUGCCCUGCUUGAUGUGUGCAUAAGCAGUGCAGCCAAAAAUUCUCAACUUGGUGUAGUCAGCUAAUCUCCCUGACCAAACUUCAUAAGGUGUUUUAAGUUCUAUUGCAGUUGAGGGGCAUCUAUUUAUCAGGUAACAAGCUGUACACAAAGUUUCAGCCCAUAAUGUCUUUAGCAGCUUUGAAUGAAAUAGCAUGCAUCUAACUCUUUCCAUUAAUGUUCUAUUCAUUCUUUCUGCCAAACCAUUUUGUUGUGGUGUGUGCCUAACAGUUUUGUGUCUCUGGAUUCCACUCUUUUCACACAAAUCAUCAAACUGUUUAUUGCAAAACUCAAGUCCAUUAUCAGUUCUAACCCUUCUAACUUUUCUAUUAGUUUGAGUUUCAAUCAAGGUUUUUCAGGCUUUGAAUCUAUCAAAAGCCUGAUCUUUGCUCCUUAUUGGAUACACCCAUACCAUCCUAGAGAAGUCAUCUAUCAUAGACAAAAAAUAACAAGCUCCACCUAGAGAUUCAAUCUGUGCUGGUCCCCACAUAUCCGAGUGAAUAUAAUCCAAAGUACCCUUAGUAUUGUGCACUGCAGUUUUAAACCUGGUUCUUGAGGACUUUCCUAGGACACACUCCUCACAGAAUCCAACAGUACUUAUCUUAUCACUCCCUAGAGCUCCCUGUUUUUCUAGUUCUUUCAGCCCACUUUCACUUACAUGACCCAACCUGAAAUGCCACAGUAAAGUUUUAUCUAGUUCCUGUUUUAUCACUACCCCAACAUCCCCAGUUAUUGCUGAUCCUUGCAGUAUGUAUAAUCCAUGCUGCAUUACACCUUUCAUUAGUAUCAGAGACCCUUUAAUAACUUUUAAGGAGCUUGAUUCAAGUCUGAUGCAACACCCUGCUUUAUCUAACAUGCUUAGGGAAAUUAGAUUUCUUUUAAGCUCUGGAAUAUGCCUUACAUUAUCAAGUUCUCUAAUUAUACCAUCAGACAUUUUCAAUCUAACAGAGCCUAUACCAAUGACUUUACAGGAAGCAUUGUUUCCCAUCAAGACUUUACCUCCUUCAAAGGGUUGAUAGCUACUGAAUAAGUUUUUAUGGGGGCACAUGUGAUAGGUGCAGCCAGAGUCAAGAACCCAUUUACCUUCAGUUUCCAUGUUUGAAGCUACCAGAACACCAGCAGAGUCAUAUCCCUCAUCUGAAUCUUCAGAAGCAACAGCAGCAUUUCCACUUCUGUUAUUAGCAUCCUUAGGCUUAAUCUUUCUCUCAGGGCAAUCCCUUUUGAAGUGACCUUCCUUGUGGCAGUGGAAGCACUUCAAGGCACUGUUCUUAGAUUUUGAUCUUCCUUUCUUUUUUCCUUUCCAGCCAUCUCUCUUCUCUGAUCUCCCUCUUACUGACAACCCUUCACCAUCUUUUGUUUCUGAUUUCUUAGAGCUUUCUUUGGAACUCAAGGCUUCCUUGAAAUCUUGCAUGGCCAGUGAUUGUCUACCAUACAAGAGAGUGUCAACAAAAUGUUCAUAGGAAGAUGGUAAUGAAGAUAGCAGAAUAAUGGCUUUAUCCUCGUCUUCAAUCUUUACAUUAAUGUCUUCUAGAUCUAAAAUGAUCCUAUUGAAGGCAUCAAUGUGAGUAGUUAAAGAGCUGCCUUCUUCCAUCUGGAGUGUGUAGAGCCUUUUCUUUGUACUCAAUCUUUUUGUCAAAGAUUUCUUUGUGUACAAAUCCUCUAGCUUCUUCCAAAGGCCUGCAGUUGUUGUUUGGUCUCCCACUUCUCUAAGUACUCCAUCUCCUAGACUUAGGAUUAUAGUGCUGUGAGCUUUGUCCAUGGCUUCUUGCAUGUCUUCAUCUUUGACUUUGCUGAUCUUUUUCGAGGUUCUUGGAUCCUCCAGCACUUCUUCAAUUCCCUGGUGAACCAGCAAUGCUCUCAUCUUCAGCCUCCAAAGAUGGAAGUCAUUUUCUCCCGUGAACUUCUCCACAUCAAGUCUCUGUGUUGCCAUUCUUGCUCUCAAGAUUCAGAGAUGUGAGCUCUGAUACCAAUUUGUUGUAAUUAAGAAUGAGAAACCUUAAUUCUUUUACCCAAUAAAUCACCACACACUGAUCUUGUUAAGGAAAGAAUGAAGGAUCGAUAUAGAAAUCAGAUUAAGAAUAAGGGUAUUUUAAUCAGAGACAGGAAUUAAGAAAGAAUCAAGCAAAACGAAAUGCAAAGGGGAUUAUAGAGGUUCGGCUUUGCAGCCUACAUCCUCUUGAGAAACAGAAGCCAUAGCUUUUCUUUAUGCUUUAACAGAUUACAAGUAUUAGAGUAAUUGCUACAAGGAACGAUUCCUCCCAAGUAUAGCCCUCAAGGCUAUAUAUACAACUCAGAAAAGAUCCAGAUAUGUGAGUUGUACAACAGCUCUCAUUCUGGGUUUGUUUCAACAGACCCAGCAAACUCCCGCCAAUCCUAACUGUAUGUAACAGCUCUUCAAAUUGAAACGGCAUCAGCAGCUGCCGUUUAACUUAAGCUUGAUCGUGCAAGUCACGUGCGUUACUUAAGCCUUUCGUAUGAUAGUUGCUGGUUGUCAUACGGCAGUGUUAUCUGUAUGUUUGCUUUGUCGUUUCUCAUUCAAUUCUGGAAACGACAAAGUCGUCUCCUUCAGAAGGUUCUGAUUCAGGUUCACAUUUAACAACAUGCAUUGAAAGCUUAGAUCGUUUAAGAAAUUAUUAAUAGACACAUGUUUUAUUAGUGUCAUCUUUGGAUGAUAGUGAGGAUCAUAUGCCUAUUAAUAAUUCUUGAAUUGUCUAGGCUUGAACUGUUUGGGAAUGCAUAGUUUUCUAUGGUAGCUAGUAGCUGAAGUUUUUUUCCCACGUAAAAAUGAGUUUUUCGCAAGCUGCUUCUCAUCUUCUUUGGGUGCAUACUAGAUAACACAUAAACACUCAUAUAUCUAUGUCGUUGCUUGGAGAACUAAAGGGAGAUGCUGCCGAAAUUUCUAUAAACGUAGAAGAAAACUUUAAAGUACUUGAGAUUGAAGAAACUUAUGCAUUCUUGAGAGGGAUAUACGCGACCACUUACCUUUUGUAAAUAUGAAGGGAGUGUUGGACAUAUUGAUGGGAGUGGAGGAGCUGAGUUGGAUGGACGUAAUCGGUUAUAGUUUUGCUGAGUUAACUUGGUUUUGAGCUUGUAAUUUUGUUUAUAAAUGGAGUACUAUCUCCAAUGUUGGUUUAUAAAUAUGUUUCAGCUGGCUGACCUUUUUUUUUGUUUCUAGGUAACAUGCUUUGUAUCUGUAAUUGAUAACCAACUGAAGUUCUCAGCUGUGGGUGAGGAUAUUUCUUUACAGAAGGUAUUGGAAACUGUUUUUUACAUUAAUUAUUGUUGUAUAUAUACUUUAAUUUUCACGUCUUUUUCUCUGAUUCUUGUCGCUUUACUUGCUUUCAUAUAUAUAAAUUCUAAUGAAAUUAACCAUAAAAUUGUAUAAUGAUUUUUUAAUUAUAUUGCAAAACUGUGCACACACGAAAAUAUCUUGGUCAGUAGUAGAAAUGAAAAACUAAAAUGAUUUAUCUAACUAAUUUUUGUAGUGCAUUAAAAGGAGAUGGUAAUGGAGAAGAGUUGGGUUGGUUUGGCCAAUAGAUAUCUAAGUUAUAGAUUUUGCAUUUGAGAAUGUUGUUGGUGAUGCAAGAAUUUAUUAUCCUUGUAAGAAGUGUCGAAUAUUUCGUUUUAAGGGAAGUAGCAAGAGACCAUAUCAUUAUAAAUGGUUUUUGGUUAAAGUAUUAAAACUGGAUAUUGCAUGAUGAGCCAUCUUCAUCUUUGGAAUCUAACCAAGAAACAGGUUAGUCAUGACUCGGGUGCUGAUGAUGAUAUGGUUGGAAUGAUACAUGAUACAUCACGUAAUCAAAUAUUCAAUUCACACACAGCAUUGUUAUGGACUAUCAGUGACUUUCUAGCACAUGCCAACUUGUCUGAGUGGAGUAUUAAAGGUAAAUAAGCAUUCUUGUUUGCCAACAAAACACUAGAUCUAAUUGGUUGAUACAUAGUAGAAAAUUUUGUCACGUCGGUAACGUCGAUUUUUACCGACGAAUCAUAGGUUUCGAAAAUAUAGUGCCUUUUGAUAAAUCUAGAGAGUGGGGACAAGCACCUUCUCGGAUGUCUGGAGCUGAAGUGAAAAAGCAGUUGAAUAAUAUACUUACUGAGUUUAAGAUUGAAGACUUGAAAAGUGGAGAAUGAAUAAAAUGAGAGAAAUGAUAAGAUUACUUGGACGAAGAAAAGCAUAUUUUAUGAACUACCGUGUUGGGAGUUCAAUUUGAUUCAUCAUAAAAUGUGAGACAUGAGGGAGAGACAAAAGCUCAGGCUUGUCUGCAACCAUGUGGGCCCUCAUAAGCAAUUCGUGUACACAACUUGGUUCACCAAGCCCAACAACUUGAAGCAGGCAAAAUCCGGGAACGAUCCUUCUCCUUCGCAACCCUAGCUGCCUUAACCUUGUAUUUCUGAUAUUUAGUUAAAGAGUAAGAAGAUUGCUCCUCUGUCAAUUACCUUCGAGAGAGACUUUCUUUGUUUUCUUAGCGCUGAAAUGGCCUCCACAAGCUUGUUCAUGGCAGAAUGAAAGAAUAUUCUGAAUUUCAUUUUCAGGGACACAUCGUCUAAUAAUUUGGUCUGCACAAUACUUGAACAAAUACGGGUCAUCCCAAAAGAAAUUCUUUAUCUUUGCAAAGAAUUUAGUCUUGUCUUGUUUGGUCCAAUGCUCUGGAAGUUUACCUGUAACAAGAUAAUUAACUAUAUCAGCAUACCAAGGUAAUACUUCGACAUUCAUUAAUUGUUCAUCUGGAAAUGACUCAUUUAAUGGUAAUGGUUCUGUAAUUGUGUCAAAGUGAAGACGAGAGAGAUGGUCCGCCACAAUAUUUUCUGUGCCUUUCUUAUCCUUGAAUUCCAAGUCGAAUUCCUGCAAAAGUAACACCCAACGAAUUAGUCUAGCUUUUACAUCUUUCUUUGUGAGAAGAUAUUUAAGAGCAGCAUGAUCUGUGAAUAUAAUUAUUUUACAACCAAUGAGAUAAGAUCGAAAUUUUUCUAAUGCAAACACUACUGCUAGCAUUUCUUUUUCAGUAGUUGAAUAAUUCAACUGUGCAUCAUUCAAUGUCAUACUAGCAUAGUAAAUAACGUGGGGAAUUCGAUCAACUCUUUGUCCUAAUACUGCUCCUACUGCAUAAUCAGAUGCAUCACACAUGAGCUCAAAUGGUAAGCUCCAGUUUGGGGCCUGAAUGAUGGGUGAUGAUGUCAACAACUGCUUUAAUUUUUCAAACGCCAUUAGACAUGAAUCAUUAAAGAUAAAAUAUACAUCUUCUUUUUCAUUCACCGAUGCUUGCUUGUGAAAGCAAGGGUUUUAGUUACGCUUUCAACGCUGUCAAUGUAGUGAAGUUAAGCAUUCGUAGAAUAGUAUUACAAGACUGCUGAUAAAAUUUCACUUGCAGGCAUUUCUCACAAAAUUUCUGUGAUUUAAUGUGCUUUCAUGCACGCAAGUCCUAACGUUUCUGUGAUCACAAAUGAAACUGAAGAUAAAACAGAACAACUACCAAACCUUUCAAGCGUGACGAAGCCAUGAGAAUUGAUAGCUCAAUGUCAUGGGAUGAGUGUUUUGUCACUAAAACAGAACAAUAAUUUUGAACACACCAUGUGGCAUUUAGACCAUUUGAUAGUUUGUUUCAAACAUAUUUGUUUAUAAAAUACUUUUCUUCAUGGUUUUGGUCCCAUAAUUUUCUAUGUAUGUACAGGUUUUAUCGAUACCGCUUUUGACAAGUUACACUUACAUAGCAAUGCUAUCUGGGUUCAGCCUUGCCUUUUUGAUAAACUGUGCUUCUGUGAUGAAGAAUGUUUUAGCUGUAAGUGGAUAUCCUAAUCAUUGAUCCAUAUACUUAGGUUAUAUUAUCCAUCAGCAAGUAUGUAUAAAAUUAUUUUGUGUCUUUUUUUAUUAGAAAUGUUGUAAUUCUAUUUUACUCUUCCUGAAUUAUAACAUCAGGUGUCUAUAAUAACUAGGUUAUUCCUUCUGCAAAACAGAGCAGUGGUAAAUAUUUUUUUUCUUUUGUUUGUUUAGUACAUUUACAUGCUUUCAGCUUUUUCAAAUUUUGUAUGUGUCAAAGUUUAAAUUUAAUUUGUUGGUUUAUGCCACAACAAAAGGAACAGCAUCAAAGAGGAGCUGCUAAUGGACUUGCUAUGACUGUAGUGUCGCUUACCAAAACUGCCGGUCCAGCUGUAGGAGGUGCUCUGUGAGUGUCCUGUUGAUUUUGUAAAACUAUAUGUAAAUGAAGUUAUAAUUUUUUUUUCAUUAAUUGGGGUUCUGGCAGAUUUUCUUGAUCACAAAAGCGUCAAGAUGCUGGUUUCCUCCCAGGAUGAUGAUCUACUAAUGAAAUUUCUCGCGAGUUUGUGUACUAUUUCGUGCUAAUUCUUCAUUAGCUGCUUAAACAAAAGUGCAGGUAACCAGAUGGUUUUUUUUCAUUCUGAGGCACUUGGAGUAAUAUUGACAUCCAAACCGUUUCUAACUCAGCGUGCCCCGUGAGUAGCGAAAAGAGCAUCUGUUGAAAUAUUUAAAUAUAUAUCAAGCAAAUUAAAGCUUUCAAAAUCUAUCAACAAUUUGAUUAUUUGAUGUGGUUGCCACUUGCCAUAUUUUGUGUUACUGUUCAAAAGGCUUAAAUAUGAAAAUGGUGGUUGGCGCUCACAGCAACCGAUUGCUGGUAACAUUAAUUGUUCAACUUAUCUCUGUCGACAUUUAUACUUGUUCAUUGUCAGAACUACGACAAUUUAUCUUCACAAUGAUGCAAGCUAGAAAGAAUUUUUCAUGUUAAGUAAAACAUUGAAGCCAUAAAGAGUCUUAAUUGAGUACUAAGUUUUCUACCAUGCUUUCAACGGUAACACAUUUGGAGCUCUUAUUCCAGGGGCUUCACAGUAGAGAGACCUGAUUUCGACCUUCUUCAGAACUUGGGGAUUCCGUAAUAACAGAGGACAACAGUUAUAUAAGAAUAUUAUUUUGUACAAUUUUCGUAUAACCUGACCAAUGCAAGUAUAAUUUUAUGAUCUUAACUCAGAUCAAAAGACCUUCAAUGAUGUAAAAUUUGCACAUAAAGUUGAGAACCAAACAUUAGAACUUAUGAUGAAACGGAAACAAAAACGUUGAGAUUAAAAGAUAGAGAAACACAAGCUUUUUAAAAGGGAUAAAUGCUCAUUUAAUUUCUAUAUUUUGAUUUAAGAGUGCAUUUAAUUCUUAUAUUUUAAAAAGUUCCUCAACCUUAAGACACCCCCUACUAUAAAAUAUAUUUCAUUCCUACCCUUAUUUUUUUUCUUUUUACAAUAAUACUCUUGGAAUAAUAUUUUUGGGAAUAUUAAUGAAAAUAAAAAAUGGUAAUUCAUCCAGCCAGCCUUAAACAAAGUAAAUAUUAAUAAAAAAUUUUAUGUUAUUAUUUUAGUUUUAGGACUAAUAUCGUAAAUUAAUUUUUUUAUGCAUUUAUUAGUAAGAUUGCUUUAAGAAUAUUAAACAUUACUUUAAGUUGGUUGAUAUUAAUUAAUUUAUAAAUAAUUAUUAGCAAGAUUGUUGUAAAAGUACAAAAAUAUUUUCAUAUUGAUAUUUAUUGAUUAAUUUGUCAAUUAAUUUUUUUAUAAAUAAAUUAAUUAAUUUAAGAAUAUUAUUGCCAGGAUAUCAUUGUAAAAGUAAAUAAAUUUUAAGGAAAAAAAUGUAAUGUAUUUAAUAUCAAAGUAUAUUGAGAUAUUUUUCAAAAUAUAAAGACUAAACGUGCAUUGAAGUUAAAAUACAGGUACCAGACGAGCAUUUUCUCUUUUAGAAAGUUUUAUAUUUUAUAAAUGAAAGUUUGAAUAACAAAAUUAGGGUUUUGGACUCCUUUUAAACUAAACCUAAAAUAUUACUACAUAAUAAUAUUCUCCUAACUGAAAUAAGAUAAAUGCUACUUAAAUUCUAUAUCUAAAAAAAAAGAUAAAAAUCCAGAAAACAAUAGGAAAAUGGAUAUUAAACUUGUAAAAUAAUAUGAAAUAUAUAUAAUUUUCAACCGAACCACGAGGCUAAUGCGGCGCUAUAGUAUUAGAUUAGAUUCCCCUCAUCCCAAACUUCAAAAGGUAUAUUAUACACCGUAAAUAGAUACUUAUAGCUCAAGUUGUUACCCUAGAGAGAUAAUCUACUCAUCCUAUGCAACCAUCCGCUGCAUCAAAUUCGUUCCAAAAUUAAGAAUAAACCAGCUGAUGCAUUCCAAACAAUUUAGAUGAACCGAUAAAAUAAACCUAGAGAUCAAAUAAAAUCAAAUGAGAAUGAUAAUUACCUCGGACUGAAGCUCAUACAAAUUCAUUAUUUGACACCUCCAGCAAUUGUUGAAAUAAUUGUUAAUUAAAUAUAAAAUAAGACAGGUACAUAUUAAUGACACACCACUGUGAAUCGAUAGCUAAGGACGGAGUAAAAUUUAAUUGUAAAUUAGGACAGUAGAGCAAGCAUCCAUAAACAUAACAUGAACGUAAUACAUCAAUUGAAAUAUCAUACGAUAAAUUAGUCAGAGAAAGAAAUAAGUAAAUAAAUCAGCAAAGGAAACAUGCAUGAACAAAUAAAAAAAAAAACAAAGACAAAAGUAGGAAGAGUUGUCUGUGAGAAUCUUCUUCUAUGGUCAUUGAAGUCCCAAACUCAAUGGAAAUUCAAUGGAACCUUAAAAACGAACAGUGAAGGAAAAUGAAGAAAUCUGCAGGAAAUAAGGCGAGUGAGAGUGAAGAAUUAAUUACCACCGAGUAAAUGCGAAUGAAGAAUGGAGACAGAUCGAGAAGUGAGAUUCAGAGAUUGUAUUGAAAUUGAGAGUUGUGAUCCAGAAGCGAUUCUUCUUCUCCGUAAUUCCCUUUUUCUUUUAAUGUUGUUGUUAUUAUUAUUAUAUAUAUAAGAAGCGGUCCUGAUUAGUACUUCUAGAUUUUCUCUUGGGCUUUCCUUAUUAUUGUUAAAAAAUGACACGAAGAACUUUGAGUUUAAAAAUCUGGCCCUGAUGCCUGGUAGCCCUUCAACAUAUGAAGCACCAAAUGUUUUGAUGAGAAAAUGACAAGACCAUUUAUCAAAUUUCUUGUGGAUAUAAAUACAUACACAUAGACGAGGCCAACCUCCUCAAAUGAGAAUCAGAGUGAUUACAAGACCUUGCAAUGAGACAAUGAUACACCAUCAAAUGUCAAAAUACAAUAGAAAUUCACGACAUAUAUAUAAUAAAAGACCUCUCAUUGAGUCAUAUAUAUUGAGAAUAAAAAUGUUAUAAUACAUACACAGAGCUUAGUUAGAAUAAAAUGUCUUUGAACUUGCGAUGAUCAAACAAAGGAAACAGACAGGUUGUAACUCACACUAUCACAAGAAGAUCACGAAGAUGGAAAUGGGAACCCAUCAGAAUGGAAACUUUGAAUAGAUGAAAAAAGAAAAACGACCUUAUUCACAGAAGAAGAGUGACUUAAAUCUUCAUCAGUAUCCAGACAUUUUGCAAUCAUAGAGUAGAGAAAUUUUAACAGGAACAGCAGAGAAAAUAUUAUGAAUAUGCUAUAGACCAAUAUACUUGUUCAUAGCUAACGUUUGAUGGUUUAAGGAUUUGUUCUAGGAAUAAUGGGCUGAUUACUUUCUUUUUAUUUUAAUUUUUUUUUAAUCCAAUGAAUGAUAUUCAGCUGUUAAUUAUGUGUUCAUAGGGAAGAACAUUUUCUAAGUACUUUCCUUGCCUUCUAACUUUCCGAAAAGCAAACCCAAUGAGCAAACAGAGCACAAACUAAAAUAAAAGAACAGCAAUGAUAACAAUAAAUAAUUGGCAAAGAAAAAAAGGAAAAAGUAUGCACGUUUUCAAGGAAUUAUAAAAUACGAAGGCUUUUAAUGAAAUUUUAUCAUAAAAACGUACGCAAGGAGUUAUAAAAAUUUUAGAAGACGAAGGGAGCUCCCAAAAAAAAAAAAAAGAAGAAAAAGACUCAAAUUAAACUAGACUAAAAAGACAUUCAAUUAUGCAAAAUCUGUCCAUAAAAGUCUGAAAGGAUCAUUAAAAUUGCAUUGCAAAUUUAACAGUAAACCGAGGGACCCAUUCUAAAUAAUUCAGAUGAAAUUGUGAAACAAGACAUGGGAUUAAAUAAAUGAAAUAAAAAUUAAUUACCAGUUGAGACUUUCUUCUAAAAAUUCGCAACUCCAAGUCAUAAGAAGCCUAUGAAAUUAGUCGUACUGCGUAGAGUAUGACGACGACACCGCCAACAGCUGAAAGUAAAAUUCUUAUUCAUCAAUUUAAACUUACUUUAUAACAAAUAUCUUAUCUAUAUUGUAUUUAAGAAAGCAAAUUUUGUAAAAAUUUAUCAUGGGAGAUAGAGAGUAAUAUGUAUAUACGUACCUUCUCAGCAUGUAAUUGUUGUAUGGUUGUGUUUAGAUCAUUAUUAGCCCAGCGCCGUUGAUCCGCUGUCUCUCCAUAGCAGACGUUUACUCUUAGAGGCGUGAUUGAUUCUCCUGUAGUGAAAAUCUUCAUCUUGGGACAACCAAUCACAUCCAGAUAUUCCAAAGAUGGGAAUUUGAAGGUGUAAUUGGCAGAACAGAAACUUGUGAGGCUAUCUAAAUCAAACAGUCCCAACGUCUUCAAUUUGCUAAAAACAAUCUCUUCUUUUUCAACUCCAUCUUUGUCAUUUAUUACCACCUCUGUCAUUGCUCUGCAUCCAUAUAUUUCUAUUGCUAUGAGUCGCACCAGAGUUUUUGCUGUGGAGGAUGUUACCAAGUGUAUCAAUUCCUUGCAACCGAAAGCUACAAGUUUUGUUAGGUUCCCAAAAGAUACCGAUGAUGAUGGCAAUAGAAUUAACAGACUUUGACAAUGAUAUACUUUUAGAAUUUCAAGAUACUGAAAAAUGGGGCCAAGUUUGGAGUCUUGCUUGCACAGCUGCUCCAGAUGAUAGUGCCAGCGCAGCUGUAAUUCUUUUAUCAUUGCCAACUUCCCCACAUGUUUCUCUAAGCAUCCUUCCAUCGAAAAUACCUCUUCGUGGGAUGAAAAAAACAACAGUGUGAGUAUUUCGAGAUUGUGAAAUCUCUCCAGUACGUUCCAGAUUGUAAAACCAGCUGAGUCAUCUGCAGCAAUCUCUAGUUCUCUAAGACUGCCAAAAAGGUGUUGUGGGAAAUCGGCCUGCAAAAUCAUCUUCACAUCUUUUCCACUUAGUGAUAGUUCCUUCAAGUUGGGUACGAUCUGAUCAUCAUCAAUCAUAAUAACUAAUGAGGUCAAUUGAUGAUCUACGGUCACACGCAGUGACUUUAUAGUAUUUGUUUUAUAUUAUAUUUUUAAAAAAAAUUGAAUUAUUGAUAAAAUUUAUUUUAUAUGUUAAUUUUAGAGGUAAAAAAGAAAUUAGGGAAAAAAGGUUGAUUUAUACUGGCUUGAAAUUAUUUUAUUGCACAAUAAUAAAUUACUAAUUUAUUUUGUAAGUUCUUCUAUAUGGAAAGACUAAGGAUUCUUUUAUAAAUGCUAUACCUUAAAAAGUUCAUAUAAUUAUUAAUCUACCACAUUGAUCUCUUAAUCUAGACUAGCAAAGAUUAUUGUAUAAUAAAAGUUUUCAAUUUAUUGAGUGUUAAUUUAUCGAUGCUUUGUCAUUUUUUUCGAAGUUAAAAAUACGCUAUUGAUAAAAAAUCUAGAAAAUGGCUUCGUACCUUUUCCAACGGCAAUAGGGGCUGUUGUGCAGGAAUACCAAGUUGAUCAUUCUCAUUAUUCUGCGAUAAAUCUGCAUCGAAUAUCUUUAAUUUGUCACAACGACCCACUAAAAGAAUUUCUAGUGCGGGCCAUUCCGAAGUAUGCAUUCCAGGGUACAAACAUCUAAGUUUUGGUAGACAUUCGAGUCUUAGAGUCUCAGAGUGGUGAGCUGUGGAAAGACAAAAUAAGGGAUAACUUCAUCUGCUCUGUUUUCAGAAAUGAUCUCCUCUAAAUCCUCACAGAAGCGUAUAUCUAGGUGUUGGAGCUGCUUAAGGCUUUCGAUCAUAGACGCUGAAAAUAUGUAUUUUAAUUUGUGACAACGCCACGCGAUCAAUCGUGUUAAAUUUUGAAAGCGAGGAAACACGGCCGCCGGAAUUUGAUUGUAGUGCCAAAUCUUGUCGACAUUAAUAUCAGAUAUCUCCAAAGCCUCCAAGUUAGGCAACGCAACCUAAAAGAAUAAGAAUUUCUGGUUAGAUCCAAUAUCCAUAUGGGAAGCACUUGUUGAAAUUUUCUUCUUUGAUUACAAAUUAAUGCAAGUCUGAAUCAAUUUCCAACUGACAGCUGAGUAUGCAUUCUAAUUCAUACUACUUGUUAAGAGCUCAAUUAGUGAGCGCGUGAGAUUCUUUUUAUCCUUUUUUCCAUUUUCUUUCAAUUCUUUAAAUGAUUUAAUUAUUUUCCACGUAUGACAUCAAAACAGAACGCAUGAUAGAAUAAAGAAAAUGUUAGCCUACGCACCUUCUCGUUGAAAAGCAGAGUUGAAGUAUCCAAAGUGAUUUCGCUGGAGCUAUACGUAGUCGUCGAUUCCUCCUGCGACGCUGGUCUGUUUGGUGAUGCUGAAGGAGUCUUCACGUCACGGCAAAAACUUGUAAACUCUGGAAGAUUCCCCAGACUCAAAGAUCUUAAUUGAGCAAACUCUAUCUUCUCAAUUGCAUUAUCAACUUCUUCCCCAAUUGCAAAAAUCUCUUUCAUCUUGCUGCAAUUAAUAACUGCAAUUCUCUCAAGUCUUGGAAGGCAUUUUGUUGUAGAGAGCCAAAAGAUAUUACUCAAUUUAUCACAAUUAUAUGCUUGUAUGAUUUUGAGUUCGUUGAAGGACUCUACUUUGAGCCGAUCAAUACAUAUCCUCUCCAUGUUGAUCAAAUUGUGAAGGCCAAGUGACUCCAAAAGAGGAAAGGCAUCACAAGCGACCAUCGCCCUUGAAUCGACGAUACAAAAGAUGUCAGGAUUAUUUUGAACCCAGAGAAGCUUCAAUUGUGAAAAGCCCUCUGUGUCCAAAUUGAAAAGAACAUUCUCGAUGCCUUGCAGCUUGUCCAACCAUAAGCAUUCUACGUUAUUGAUGCCCUGCAAUUUCAUGGAGCAAAUGUCCAUAAAAGCAAGCUUGAGCUUCAAUGCUCUUAAACUCUUGCGAUCACUUUUGCGAGAAAAGCGCCGCAGACUUUGGAACCAAUUUUGUUCAGCAAUCAUGGGAUGUGUGCUAUACCUUAAAAAGUUCAUAUAAUUAUUAAUCUACCACAUUGAUCUCUUAAUCUAGACUAGCAAAGAUUAUUGUAUAAUAAAAGUUUUCAAUUUAUUGAGUGUUAAUUUAUCGAUGCUUUGUCAUUUUUUUCGAAGUUAAAAAUACGCUAUUGAUAAAAAAUCUAGAAAAUGGCUUCGUACCUUUUCCAACGGCAAUAGGGGCUGUUGUGCAGGAAUACCAAGUUGAUCAUUCUCAUUAUUCUGCGAUAAAUCUGCAUCGAAUAUCUUUAAUUUGUCACAACGACCCACUAAAAGAAUUUCUAGUGCGGGCCAUUCCGAAGUAUGCAUUCCAGGGUACAAACAUCUAAGUUUUGGUAGACAUUCGAGUCUUAGAGUGGUGAGCUGUGGAAAGACAAAAUAAGGGAUAACUUCAUCUGCUCUGUUUUCAGAAAUGAUCUCCUCUAAAUCCUCACAGAAGCGUAUAUCUAGGUGUCGGAGCUGCUUAAGGCUUCCGAUCAUAGACGCUGAAAAUAUGUAUUUUAAUUUGUGACAACCCCACACAAUCAAUCGUGUUAAACUUUGAAAGUGAGGAAGCACGGCCGCUGGAAUUUGAUUGUAGUGCCAAAUCUUGUCGACAUUAAUUGCAGAUAUCUCCAAAGCCUCCAAGUUAGGCAACGCAACCUAAAAAAAGAAGAAUUUCUCGUUAGAUCCAAUAUCCAUAUGGGAAGCACUUGUUGAAAUUUUCUUCUUUGAUUACAAAUUAAUGCAAGUCUGAAUCAAUUUCCAACUGACAGCUGAGUAUGCAUUCUAAUUCAUACUACCUGUUAAGAGCUCAAUUAGUGAGUGCGUGAGAUUAUUUUUUUCCCCAUUGUUUUCAUUUUCUUUCAAUUCUCUAAAUGAUUUAAUUAUUUUCCACGUUUGACAUAAGAGAACGCAUGAUAGAAUAAACUCUGUUAUAUAUAUAUAUGAAUAAAAUGUUAGCCUACGCACCUUCUCAUUGAAAAGCAAAGUUGAAAUAUCCAAAGUGAUUUCGCUGGAGCAAUACAUAGUCGUCGAUUCCUCUUGCGACACUUGUCUGUUCGGUGAUGCUGAAGGAGUCUCCACCUCACGGCAAAAACUUGUAACCUCUGGAAGAUUCCCCAGACUCAAAGAUCUUAAUUGAGCAAACUCUAUCUUCUUAUUUUGAACCUUUCGAGCUUUCUGGCCAAAAAACCUUCUGGUAACAUACUGUCAUUUUUAACAUCAAUUUCUAGAGUGGUUAGCCGAGGUAAAUGCAUCAAUUCAUCAAGGCUAGCAUUACUUCUUUUGCUGUUGGCUCUUUCAACCUCCCAUUCAAUGGAGCAAUUACCCAUAUACAGCUCUUCUAAUCGGAUUAAGCUUGAUAUGACAUUUGGGGCAAUAACUUUCAGACGGAAACAAUUGGUUAAAUCUAACAAUCUCAACUUAUUCAAUUGACCUAGUUCUUCUGGCAACUGCGUUAUAUCAGACUUCAAAAAGCUAAGGACUUCUAGAUUCUUCAACUUCCCAAUGAUUGCUAUGUCGCCCAACGCACUUUUAUCCAGACAUAGUGUGUGAAGAUUUACUAGAAGAUCAAUUGAAGAUGGAAAAGAAGAAAACUGCAUUCGAGUAAAAUCUAGAAUUCUAAGCUUUUUCAUCCCUACAAAAAAGUUCUCAGGAAUAUUGAUUUCAAGAGAAAAAUCUUUGAGAGAGAUAUAUAAAAAUUCAAGGUUUGGGCAUUCUAAUCCUUCAGGAAAUUCACGAUUACUAUUUUUUAUUAAAGAGAUAGCUUUGCAAUUUCGAAGUGCAUCCUUAUCUGGCCAGUCCCACACAUCCUCAUUCCUCACCGAAAACACAUGUUGCUGGCGGCAUGCAAUUGAUAUCGCGACAUCGCGAACAACAUCAUGCAUUGACAAUUGUUCAUUGCUCUCACCCUCAAGCAACAAACAAGAGUCUCUAAGUUCAUGGACCAAUGCAUAUAAUUUGUCUCGUGCAUCUUCCAUCUUAUUGACUCCUUUAAAUAUACCCAAACCCAUGGAGUACUUAAACAAGUCGAAAGUAAAAAUACGGUUACCCAUUAGACUGCAGAGCUGAAAAAUUUCCUUGCGUUCACCUUUUAAUUGGUUGAAACUCAGCUCAAUACUUGCAUAAGUCUCUGCAGAUACUCCUUCGAAGUUUACCAUUGAAGGCGUUCGGAGUUCUCGCAAGGAAUUCUUCCAUUCAUGCAGACUCUUGCCUCUCAAUGCCUUUGCUACCGUACUCAAGGCAAUGGGCAAACCUCCACAUGCCCUGGCGACGUCUAUUGCUGUAGAUUUCAACUCACGAUUUUCAACAUCAUCACCGGCCAUCAUCUUAAACAAUCUCCCGGCUUCUUCUUCUUUUAAGUUGUUUAUCAAAAAGUUGUCUUUGGAUCCCAUUUGUAAGAGGACACUACGAUCUCUUGCUGUCAGCAGUAGUUUGCAUCCUUUAUGAUCUUCUGCAAAAGGAAUUCCAACAGUCUCCAAAUUAAGGUGUUUCCAGAUGUUAUCUAAAACCACAAGGAUCUUCUUCUCAUUUCUCAAUCGCUCAAAUAGUCUACUUGCUCUUCCAGAUUCAACUUCCUCGCGCAACUCCAGGCCCAACUUCUCGGCAAUUUCCUGUUGAAUCUUUUUUAUGUCUGGAGUUUGCGAAACCUCUGAAAAGACCACCAUAUCAAAGAGCUUGGCUUCCAUAGCUUGCCUGGAGACCUCCUUCACCAGUGUCGUCUUUCCAAUGCCGCCCAUGCCGUACACCCCAAUGAUGCUAACAUCGAUCAAUGCUUUUUUUAUAGCCUCCAAAGUAGAACGUCUUGAUUCGAAGGCCUCGUAGCCUAUGUGAGACUUGAGCCAAAUCUCCUCCGGAAUGGUACGGUGGGAAACAAUAUCAAACUUCUUUACUUCUUCUCCAAGUUCAACAAGGGCCUUCAUUUCUGUCUCUGCUUUCUUGCUAAGCUGAUAGCGGGUCUUCAAAUUAGGACACAAGCCCUUGAGACAACGCUUAUUCGUUGACUCCUCAUUUUCAAUGAAUUUGGCUGCCCUGUCAAUGAUGUCGUUCGCACUAACCAGCCACUUUUCAACCUUCUCUUCAAUCUUUUCUCCUUUUCUUUCAGCCUCAGAAACUCUGUGCUGAAUGCUCCUACUUUCAUCCUUGAGUUCAUCAAAUUUUGCCCUGAGAUUCUCAAAGUUGGUUUUAUAGUUACGUAAAUAACCAAGUUGGCGUUCUGCUAGAGGAGCCAAGCAUUUCACAACUUCCAAAACAACAGUAAUAAUGGUUUCCACCAUCUUUGAUCCUUCUAUUUUUUUUUUUUUUUUGAGUUCUGAAAAGCAAAUAAACAAGAGCCAACCACAGAAGAGAAAAAAGAAGAAACAACAAAGAUGGACAGUUUAUCUGGUUGUGGAAGCGGAGAAAUGAAAGAAAGCGUAACAACUGAUUGAAUAAAUAUAAGGAGGGAUUUAGAUAAUAAAGGAGAAAGGAACCAAUCAAAAUAACUUAAGUAUAGACCAAAAGAAAGAUGAAAAAUAUAUUAUAGACCACAACCGAAUGAACAAAAGAAGAUGUCUUGACACAGCAGAAGUGCAGAGAGUAGAUAUGGAACAAAACAGAGACAACAGCAGGACACAACUAAAUUGGGAGCGGAGAGAAACUAAUCAACAAGGACUGAGAGAUUACAACAAAACAGAUGCCAAGAGAAAAGGGUUUCCUGAUCCUGUGAAGCUCAAGAGAGUUAACGGCAAUAGGGAGCAAACAUUAAUAACAAAACAACAGUGACUACAACGAACGAACGCAUAUGUUUUUCUUGAUUGAGAAUAAGUUCAAAGAAUGACUUUUUAAUGAGGUGCUGAAGCUGAAGAAUAACGAUUUGCUAAAAUUUUAAGAAUGCUAUAUAUUCUGUAAAUUCAACAAGUGAAGAAUAAAGAAUAAUGGUUUGUCAUCUUCACGAUGAAGAUCAUGGGCGAGAUUAAAAGCAAAAGUGAAGAAUAAAGAAUAAUGGUUUGUCAUCUUCAUGAUGAAGAUCAUGGGCGAGAUUAAAAGCAAAAGUGACCUAUUUGAAAAGCCAAAGUUCAAGUUCCUUUGCUAAGCUUAGAAGUGAAGCAAAGAAUAAAUAAAUAAAUGAGUAAUGAUCAAGGGAUCGGAAUGAAGUGUUAGAGUACAAUUUAUGCACUAGUUUUGCAUUAUUUACUUCUUUUAAUAUCGAUGUUUUGCACUUAAUAAUAGUGAUUUACUUGUGUUUUAUUUUGGUAGGUGCAAUUUUAUUGAUUGGUGCUAAAAUUGAGCUACAAGAUGAUGUUUGAGGAUGAUUGUUUUCUUGAAGAAAUUAUGAGCUUCAGAAGAACUUUGUUGAUAAGGUGUGGGCGCAUGCUGUCAACUACGGACCUGCAGUUUUUAGUUUAACGUGUUUUGUAUUUUUAGUUAUUUUUGUAAUUACGCAUUUAAUAUUUAGAUAAUAUUUUAGAAAUUAGUAUUUUAUUUUAAAAAGAACUCUAGAGGAGAAGAGAGAGAAGAGAAUUUAAGGGAGGAAUCUAUUGUCAAAGACGGGAGAUUUUUGAAGAGAAAGAAACCCUAGAUCUAAAUUUUUCUCUCCUGUCUAUGAAGAACUAAAUCUAUUAUUCUGGUUGAAGGUUAAUGAACUUUGAUUCAUCACUGCUGUGAGAUCUUUCUUAUACUUUAAUUAUUUUAUUACUUUUUGGGUAUUUGUUUAUUCUCUGAAUUAUUGUCAUGAUUAUGUUUGUUAAUUAGAUAAUUGGCUACUAUUUAAUUAUCAACUUAAUCUAUUGUCAAUUAAAAGAUUUAUCGUAUGAAGAUUUUAAUGUUUGUGACAAAUAGCAUAGCAGUGCAUUGUGUUAUGAGAAUAAACAAUCUAAUUUAAAUGAAUCAUCGUAUGCGUUUGUUGAUUAGGAUUUGGGUCUCUCUGAUUUUUCAGACUGUCAAUUGAUUAAAUCCUAUGAUCGUAUCUAGGGUUGUCUAUUGAUUAGGAAAAUAACCAACAAUCGUACCUUAAAACUAAUGUAGCAUGUGCAUGGAUCCCUGAAAAAAAUAGCGAAAGCGCUUGGUGGCCUGGCAAAGACUUGCAUCUCUUAACACCGUCAAGAACAUAAUGACAAAAAUUAUAUAUAUAUAUAAAGACUCAAGUCGUCCAUUUCCUUUUUCUUUUAAUGUUGUUAUUAUUAUUAUUAUUUAUUUUUUUCAAUUUCAUGAUAUCUUUUUUGUUUUAAACAGUAUUGGCAUAUUACAUUUAUUUAUGUUAAUUUUACAAUACCUCCCUUCAGAUUGCACAAAUUACAUUAAAAAAAAAAGUGCUUUAUGUAUAAAACUUUCAAACAAAUUGGGCCAAAAUCUAACUUUACCAAGUUUAAAGUAAUUUUGGGCUCGACAUUCCAUUUCCGACAAACGAAUUUUCUUUAUCACCGAGGUAUGAUACUUUUCAUAUUUAUCCAACGGCUCAUCAAUGACAAUACCUUUGUAAAAAGUACUUAUUUUCAAUAGUAUAUUGUGGAAAUGUCUGGUCGGUAAUACAACUAUUUCUUAUAGUGCAAAAAUGAUACACUAAUCGUUCACAUUUUGAUGGGUAAUCCAACAUAUGAAGCACUAGAUGUUUUGAUGAGAAAAUGACAAGACCAUUUAUCAAAUUUCUUGUGGAUAUAAAUACAUACACAUAGACGAGACCAACCUCCUCAAAUGAGAAUCAGAGUGAUUACAAGACCUUGCAAUGAGACAAUGAUACACCAUCAAAUGUCACAAUACAAUAGAAAUUCACGACAUAAAUAUAAUAAAAGACCUCUCAUUGAGUCAUAUAUAUAUUGAGAAUAAAAAUGUUAUAAUACAUACAAAGAGCUUAGCUAGAAUAAAAUGUCUUUGAACUUGCAAUGAUCAAACAAAGGAAACAGACAGGUUGUAACUCACACUAUCACAAGAAGAUCACGAAGAUGGAAAUGGGAACUGCUCAGAAUGGAAACUUUGAAUAGAAGAAAAAAGAAAAACGACCUUAUUCAUAGAAGAAGAGUGACUUAAAUCUUCAUCAGUAUCCAGAUAUUCUGCGAUCAUUGAGUAGAGAAAUUUUAACAGGAACAGCAGAGAAAAUAUUAUGAAUAUGCUAUAGACCAAUAUACUUGUUCAUAGCUAACGUUUGAUGGUUUAAGGAUUUGUUCUAGGAAUAAUGGGCUGAUUACUUUUUUUUUAUUUUAAUUUUUUUUAAUCCAAUGAAUGAUAUUCAGCUGUUAAUUAUGUGUUCAUAGGGAAGAACAUUUUCUAAGUACUUUCCUUGCCUUCUAACUUUCCGAAAAGCAAACCCAAUGAACAAACAGAGCACAAACUAAAAUAAAAGAACAGCAAUGAUGACAAUAAAUAAUUGGCAAGAAAAAAAAGGAAAAAGUAUGCAAGUUUUCAAGGAAUUAUAAAAUAUGAAGGCUUUUAAUGAAAUUUUAUCCUAAAAAGUAUGCAAGGAAUUAUAAAAUUUUAGAAAACAUGGGGAGCUCUAAAAAAAAAAGAAAAACUCAAAUUAAACUAGACUAAAAGACAUUCAAUUUUGCAAAAUCUGUCCAUAAAAGUCUGAAAGGAUCAUUAAAAUUGCAUUGCAAAUUUAACAGUAAACCGAGGGACCCAUUCUAAAUAAUUCAGAUGAAAUUGCGAAACAAGCCAUGGGAUUAAAUAAAUGAAAUAAAAAUUAAUUACCAGUUGAGACUUUCUUCUAAAAAUUCGCAACUCCAAGUCAUAAGAAGCCUAUGAAAUUAGUCGUACUACUGCGUAGAGUAUGACGACGACACCGCCAACAGCUGAAAAUAACAUUCUUAUUCAUAAAACGACAAGACCAUUUAUCAAAUUUCUUGUGGAUAUAAAUACAUACACAUAGACGAGACCAACCUCCUCAAAUGAGAAUCAGAGUGAUUACAAGACCUUUCAAUGAGACAAUAAUACACCAUCAAAUCUCAAAAUACAAUAGAAAUUCAUGACAUAUAUAUAAUAAAAGACCACUCAUUGAGUCAUAUAUAUUGAGAAUAAAUUUUUUUUAAUACAUACAAAGAGCUUAGCUAGAAUGAAAUGUCUUUGGACUUGCGAUGAUCAAACAAAGGAAACAGACAUGUUGCAACUCACACUAUCACAGAUGUAGCGACACAAUGCAGUGAAUCACAAGAAGAUCACGAAGAUGGAAACGGGAACCCCUCAGAAUGUAAACUUUGAAUAGAGGAAAAAAGGAAAACGACCUUAUUCACAGAGGACGAGUGACUUAAAUCUUCAUCAGUAUCCAAACAUUCUGCAAUCAUAGAGUAGAGAAAUUUUAACAGGAACAGCAGAGAAAAUAUUAUGAAUAUGCACUGAUUACUUUUUUUUUUUUUAAUUUUUUUAAUCCGCUGCUGUACCGUACAUCCGCCUUGGCCGUACAGCAGUCUCUUAAAACACUAAUCACUCAAGAGCAUUAAAACUCUUAGUCUCUCACUCUAGAAUUGAAGAAGAAAAGAAUGAAAUGCAGGGGUGAACCCCUCAUUUAUAGUUAAAAAUUUGGGCACUAUUUAUAUUUUUAUAUAUUUUUUUUAAAUUAAAAGUUUGAACUUGACAUUCAAACUUUGAAUAUCAAAAGGUAUUGGUCGCUCUUCUAGAAAAGCGACAUUGACUUUGAUAUUCUCCCACUUAGAAAUUUGAUUGAGAAUCAAUCAAUCUCCACACCAUCCUUUCUGCUUCGUCGCUAUCAUGUUGCUUAUGUCUCUACUAGGCCAUAAAAUGAUAUACUCCAAACAAAUUUAUCAGCAUUGAUAGGCUUGGGCAAAACAUUUGUUAAGUUCUCCUUGGUAUCCACUCUUAUAUCUUUCACUACUUCACGAAGAAGUGAUAUUGUACUCCUAUAUUCUUUGUCCUAAAAUAAAAGGUUGGAUUCCUUGCAUUUUAUUAGCCCAGCGCCGUUGAUCCGCUGUCUCUCCAUAGCAGACGUUUACUCGGCGUGAUUGAUUCUCCUGUAGUGAAAAUCUUCAUCUUGGGACAACCAAUCACACAUAACUCUUGCAAAGAUGGGAAUUUGAUGGUGUAAUUGGUAGAGCAGAAACUUGUGAGGCUAUCUAAAUCACGCAGUUCCAACGUCUUCAAUUUACUGGUGAAGUAGGUCCAUAGCUAAAAUAAAAUUGGAAGAAAAUGAAGAGCAAGCACACAGAGGACACUAAAAAUUACGUGGUUCGACUUUUAACAUACGUCUAUGGGUAAAGACAAAAGGAUAAAACUUUAGUGGUGAAAUGAGGAUUACUAGUAUUAUAAUAUUUUGUUUCACUUCCCAGAACCCCAAUCCACUCAAUCUCUUAAAACACUAAUCACUCAAGAGCAUUAAAACUCUUAGUCUCUCACUCUAGAAUUGAAGAAGAAAAGAAUGAAAUGCAGGGGUGAACCCCUCAUUUAUAGUUAAAAAUUUGGGCACUAUUUAUAUUUUUAUAUAUUUUUUUUAAAUUAAAAGUUUGAACUUGACAUUCAAACUUUGAAUAUCAAAAGGUAUUGGUCACUCUUCUAGAAAAGUGACAUUGACUUUGACAUUCUCCCACUUAGAAAUUUGUUUUAUUAAGAUUUUCUGCAAAAUCUGAAUGCACAAAGCCCUUGACAGUAAAUUCUAAUCCUUCGCAGCAUAAUGCAACAUCUGAUGUUCCUCUGAUAUUUCUCAGAAUCCUCUUAAUAGUCUUCCAAUGUUCUUUGCAAGGAUUCGCUAUGUAUCGACUAACCUCUCCCACUACUUGUACAAAUCAUAGCGAACCUUAAAUUUUCCACUGCUGAUGCAUACAGUACUCAAGACAUCUCUUCUUCUCUACUUCAUUACUAGAUGAAUACUUAAGAAUAACUUGAAAUUAAUGGGAGGCGGGGUAGAAAGCCAAAUCUUUUUGCUAUUACUAUCUCGGUGAAUUUGCAUCCCUAAAAUCUUGUUUGCUGGUUCUAAGUCUUUUAUUUCAAACUCCCUAGUUAACUGUGCUUUAGUUCUUGGACUCGAUCUUUGUUGGGGCCUGCUACUAAUAUGUCAUCAACAUACCACAGUAGAAUGAUGAAAUUAUUAUUAUCAAACUUGUUGUAAUAUGUACAACAGUCUGAACUGAUUCUAUUGUAUCCAAGGUUUAUGAUGAAUGGAUCAAAUCUCUUAUAUCAACAUCUCGGUGCAUGUUUGAGAUCGUAUAGAGAUUUGUUUAACUUGCAAACCAAGUGUCCCUUUUUAGUAAAACCUUCUAGUUAGAGCAUAGAAAUCUUUUCUUCAAGUUCUCCAUAAAGAAAUGAAAUUUUCACAUCUAACUGCUCCAAAUAUAGGUCAAAUGUAGCACACAUCGACAAGACCACUCUGACUGUCCUGAGUCAAAUCACUGGAGAAAAUAUCUCAUUGAAGUUAAUACAUUCUUUCUAAGGAUAUUCUUCCAUCACCAAUCUUUCAUGAUACCGCUCCACUAGGUUAUUACCAUCACGUUUGAUCUUAUGGACCCAUUUCCAACCAAUGGGUCUUUUUUUUUUCAUAUAGUAGUAGUACGAGUUCCUAUGUCAUAUUCUUGUGUAGAGCCUUAAUUUCUUCCUGCAUUGCUAUCAUUCACAAAGUAACAUCUGAGCUGUUUAAGGUUUCAUGAAAAGUUGAUGGCUUUCCAUUCUCUAUUAAAAGACAGUAUGCAAAAUUGAUAUCUAUGACAUAAUCCAAAUGCCACACUGACAAUUAUCUAUCACGAGUUGACCAACAAACUUUUGGGGCCUCAGACUCGAUUGGUUCUUGUUCUCAUACUUUGGUGCUGUUUCAAAAAAAUCUAAAUCUUCAUUUUCCAAAUUAUUUUCAACAUAUAUUAGCACAAUCUCUGAAUUUUUAUAGUGCUAUCAUCCAUAUCUCUCUUUUGCAUUUGAUCUUCUACAAAGAUAAUAUCUCUACUGAUAACGAUCUUAUGGGCAUUGAGGUCCCACAGAUAAUACCCUUUCACUCCAUCAAUAUAUCCUAAGAAGAUACAUCUCUUGGAUUUUGGAUCCAUCUUUAAUCUCACUUGGGUAUUGUAUAUCACGUAAAAGGACAUCAAAAUGCCUAAGAUGAGAGUAAUCAACUGGCUUUCCUGUCUAUUUUUUCCAUUGGAAUUUUCAACCCGGUUGCAUUGAAUGAUGACCCACUUACCACAUAAUAAGUAGUUUUUGCUACUUCCGCCUAGAAUGAGUUGGUAGACCAGCAUUUCUCAACAUAACUCUUUUUUUUUUUAUAAGAGUCAUGCCCUUUCACUCUACUACUCUAUUUUAUUGAGGAGUGUAUGCCACCGUGAACUAUCUCUAGAUACUUUCUUGCUUACAUAUGCAAGAAACAUGCUAUUUGUAUACUCUCCACCAUUGUCUGUCCUCAGGCACUUGAUCCCUUGCCCUGAUUUAAGUUCAAUCUACGCUUUGAAUUCUUUGAACAAUAGAAAUACAUUUGACCUUUUCUUGACUGGAUACACCAAAUAUCUCCUAGAAUAAUCAUCAAUAAAAGUCACCAAAUACUUUGCACCUCCCAUAGAUAUAUCAAUUGAUUCCCAAACAUUAGAAUGAAUCAAGUCUAAAAUACAUUUACUUUUGAAAGUGGAUCUGCUAAACUUUCAUCUAUGUUGCUUCCUUGUUUUGACAUGUGGCCAAGUUUAAGAUGCCACAUCAUCACUGAAUUUUCUCUAUUUGAUGUGACUGACACAAAAGCUUUCUGUAGUGUUUCCCUUUAAGCAUGAAUAAAUUAUCACCGAUCUUUUCCACCUUCAUUAAUGCAAGUGCGCCUUUGACUAUCUUUAUGAUCCCAUUUUCUACAUGAGUUUUGUGCACAAGGCUAUCUAUUUGUCCUAAAGACAAGAGAUAUUUUUCAAGUCUUUGACAUGUCUUACCUUCUCAAUUGUGCGAACCAUACCAUUAAACAUAUUUAUUUUGACAGUACCAAUAUCAGUAAUCUCAAAGGCAUAAUCAUCACCUAUGUAUACAAAUUCUCUUGAAAUAGGUUCAUAUUUGUGAAAUCAUUCUCUUGGAGAGAUCAUGUGCCAGGCAACUAUUAAGUCUAUAAGCCAGAUGUCAUAUAGUGGUUUUCUAUCUUCUGAAGCAGUUGUUGCCUUACUGUAAAGAAUUUUGCCAUCAUACGAGGUACUUACUACAUACCCUUGAGCAUUUGAUGACUCAGAAUCUUUACCAUCUCUUCUCUUCUAGUUGUUCCAAAACUCUUCCUUGACAUGCCCUUUCUUGCAACAGUUGUUGCAUUUGACAUUCUUUUUACUUCUAGAUUUUGAUCUACCGUGACUGUGGCUCUCACUAGGGCCACGUUCCAUGGAUCUUCCUUUCAUCACCAAUAGCGCUUCUACUUGUUGCGAACUCUUUUGUCUAUCUUUUUUAUUUUUUGCUACUCUCCUCAUUUAAUACGGAGGCUGCCAUAUUGUCAAAGACUAACUUGUUUGCUCGAUUGUUAUUAGUUAUAUUAAUGACGAAUUGAUCAUACGAAUCUGGUAAACCUUGAAGUAAAAGCUCUAUAUGUUUAUUUUCCUCUAUUUUAUGACCCAACGUUGUAAGUUAUGAAAAUAAAGUCUUUAAAGUGUUGAUAUGGUCGAUCACUGAUGUAGAUUCCUCCAUUCGAAGAGUAUAAAGCCUCAUCUUUAAGAAGAUUUUAUUUUGUAGUGAUUUGACCUCGUAUAGUCUUGUGAGAGUAAACCAUAUUUCCUUUACUCUCUUUUACUCUACCAUAUUGAAAAAUACCCUAUCUGAAAGUGGUAAGUGUAGAUAUGCAAUGGCAUUAUUGUCUAUCUCAUUCCACUUGCCAUCAUUAGUUAUCUUUGUGAGCCUCUCUUCAAUUGCUGCCAAGCAAUUACUUUUCCUCAAUACAACCUUCAUCUUCAUUUUUCAUGACGAAAAAUUAUUUUUGUUGAACUUCUCAAUUUUGUAUUUUUCCGCCAUCACUUUUCACCACGAGCUACCUUUGCUAAGAUCGAUUCCUACCAUUUCACAUGAGCAGUAACUGUAUAUAUGAAUAAAGUGUCGUAUACAGAAACAAUAUCAUAUACAUGAACAAUACAAUAUAUGUAAACAGUAUCUCGACCCCAAAAAAUACAACCCGGCUCUAAUACCACUAUUAGAAAAUUGAUUGGUGAAGUAGGGCCACGACUAAAAUGAAAUUGGAAGAAAAUGAAGAACAAGCACACAGAGGACACCAUAAAUUAUUUGAAGAAAAGAAUAGAAUGAAUGAAAUGAGGGGGUGAACCCCUCUAUUUAUAGCUAAAAAUUUGGCACUUUUUAUAUUUAUUAUUAUUAUUAUUUCAAAAUUUAAAGUUUGAACUUGAUAUUCAAACUUUGAAUAUCAAAAGAUACGGGUUGUUCUUCUAGAAGAACGGCACCAACCUUGACUCUUAGGCAGACCUUUAGAGCUUUAAAUAAAGAAAAAGCUUUUAAAAAUGCCAUGUGUACUUGAUUAUACAAUAAUCUCCACCACAUAGAGUGAUUUGAUAAAAGAAAAUUUUUAUUUUUAAUUUUACUUUUAUCAGGCAUGGUGCAUUUCCCCUUGGGCUCACAUGUAAAUACUUUUAUCAGGCACGGUGCAUUUCCCCUUGGGCUCAUAUGUAAGGAUGUCAAUAAGAUGGGAAGGAGAGGGGAUUGAUUUCCCCAUACUCAUCUUUAAUACUCUGUCUAUCUCUUUGUACUCUAGACAUUUCCUUCAAAAUCACUUGAAAGAAGGGGAUGGAUGUUUCUAAAUAAUACAAAGGGAUCUCCGAUGCUAUCCGAUCUCUGAUUAUUUAAUUUCUUUUUUUUCUUAAUUUAAUCAUCUUAAAGUAAAAAUAUAAAAUCAUAUUAACACAAAAAAUAUCAAAUUAACUAAAGUGAUUAAAAUCAUUUCCAUCAAAUUAAGUCAAUGUCAUCAAAUUAGAAGAUAAUCUUUGAACUAAUUAAGCAAAAGUAAAUCUUCAAAGUUGAACUCAUCCAUAAAUGUCAUAUAGUAUAAACCAUCAAUUAAAUUAUCUUUGUCAAUUUUAAAGUGUUUAUAUUUACUUUAUAUUGGCUGUUAUUUAUAUUAUUUUUAUAAAUGUAUUGUGAUAUUUUUUAUUUACAUCACACUAUUAUAAUUGAAAUUUUAAAUGUAUUUACUAUAAAUUUGAAAUAAAUUAAUUAAAAAUAGAAUGUAUUUACUAUAAAUUUGAAAAAAAAAUGAAUUAAAAAUAAAAACUAAAGAUAAAAAUAGAAAAAUGUGGAGCCAAAUAAAAUAUUAGGGCAAACACUAAGUUAUAUUUCAUGUAACUUACACCCACACAUAUUAAUUGAUCACAGAAAUUAUACACCCACACAUAUUAAUUUAUCAGAUUCUUGUCUCCACAUAGAAAAAUUAGAUCUAAAAUUAUCAAACUCCCGAAUGAGGAAGAUCCCUCGGGGCCAUCGUCCCUGUGGAAAUUUCUGCAUCCCUGCAGUCUACAACGCCUAAUAAUGAAUUGAACGGUUGAAAUCCCUCUAAAUUUUUGAUAAUUUCUAAUCGCCCCUCCAUAUUUGAUUGAACAUCAAAACUAUUGAGUCCAAAUUUAUAACUUUGAUUUAUCUUCCAUUCCAUAGUUUUCAAGUUCUCUCUCUCUCUCUCUUUUAAUCCUUUUUACUGCAACCACCAUCAAAGCCUAGUAGUUAAUAUGUAUGCUGCUUUGCUUUCAAAAUCGGACACUACUGGUAUUUAUGGUUUUUAUUCUUUAUUUGACACAAAAUUUGGCGAUAUCUCCGCGGAAAAACACUACUGGUGUAUUCAAUUUUAUCCGGUAAUGAUUAAAUUGAUUAUUACAUGAACCGUAACUUCGCCAAGCCCAAAAUACAUAUUAAGUUAUAAAGUGUUGGCACUCAUUAUUUUUUGCAAAAAGUUUCGCCCAAAAUACAUAUAUAUUUUUUAAUUUUUUAUUUGACACAAAAUACUGACAAUUUUUUCUGUGAAAAAAAACUACUGUUAAAGACGCAUUAAUAAAAAAUGUCAAAAUGCAUAGAAAGAGCAGACACACGGAUGAUGAAUUUACUCAUCUUUAUUAGUAUUUGAACUUGAGAUGGAAACCGGAAGUCCUCCGCACAUAAACUUUGAAGAAACUGGAAAACGACUUUAUUCCAGAUAAUGCACACCAGAGUGACCAAAAUUCUCUUCAGUAACUAUAGAGAAAAUAUUAUUUUGCAUGCAUUUCACGUAACUGGAUCAAACUACUCCCCUGUUGGUUUAUCAGACCACAUUUUUAUGGUGCAAUAUAAACCAUCUUUUCAAAACACUUUUACAAUGUGAGAAAUAUAGGCAUUAAGUUUCAUAAACUAAAAACUCCAAUUGUCCAAAAAAAAAAAAAGGUGAGAAACUCAGUAGAAUUUACAACUUCUCAGACUCACGAAAAGGUGAGAAACAAAUGAUUUUUAUAUAGUUGUUCAUAGCUAACUUUUGGGGGUUUAAUGAUUUGUACAUUUUGUUUUAUGUUAUUCAAGGAAAGAUAUUCUGCUGUACCGUACAUCUCAUAGGCAGGGGCAUAUAUGCAUGAUUUGAUAUAAUUCUUGCAAUUUCUAAGUACUUGCUCUUUCCAUACCUUCUAAGUUUUGAAAGAAAGGUUGAAAUAAACAGAGAAACAGGACAAACAGAAGAAGACUGAAUUAACAGAUCAACAAAGAUGGCAACUAACAAAUGGAAAAGUUCUCUUGUAAUCAAACUAUAGCAAACAGAUGACACCAUUACCAUAUAUCUUAAUGAGUAGAUUGAUUCUAAACAUAUAUGUUAGGAUACAUUUGGUUGUUUAAUAGUUCGAAAUAAAGAGGAUGAGAUGGUUUCCACAUAAAAGUGCUGGGCCUUUCAAUGACAUUUUCAAGGAAUUAUAAAAUUCAAAAUUAAAAAAAAAUAGCACAUUAUAAAGCCACACCGUCAAAUAAAUAAAUAAAUAAGUGAAGACCAAACUAAGUCACUAAGACCUUUAAUGAUAUAAAAUAAGCAUAUAAAUCUCAGAACAAAACAUUAAAACUCAUUCUAAAAGUAAAAAUAAACUAGUGGUGUAUUCCAAACAAUUUAGAUGAAGCGAUAAAACAAGCCAAGAAAUCAAAUAAAAUGAAAUGAAAUUGAAUUACCUGGGACUUUGUUUUUCAAAUUCACAACUCGCUUGUAAUUAAAGUAAAAUGCCAAUGCCAUUAGGACAUAUACAUCAUUGAAUAAGAUGAGGACCCCUCCAACAGCUGAAAGUAAAAUUUUCAUUCAUUAGUUUCAAUUAAAAGUAAAGCACGCAGAGAUUUGCAGGGAAGCAAGAGAUUUAAUAAAUUUAACAACAGCAAUUUAAUUUGACAGGACUUCCAUACAGUAAUGAAGUUAAAAACUAACGAUUAACGAAAUUUUGUAAUUGAAUGAAUAAGAUUCUCUGAUUUUGGAUAAUUGAAUGAAUAGGAUUCUCUAACUCUUGUGAAAAUAUCAAUUUUAAAUAGGGUAGAGUUUCAAGAAUUAAGCACAUAUGUAUCCCAUCUGCCAGUACGUGAUCAUAAACUUACUUUAUAACAAAUAUCUGAUCUAUUUGGUGCAUUUUAUUUAAAAGAGAAAUUUUAUAAAAUUUUUCCACUGGUGAUAGUGAGUUAUUCGUACCUUCUCAGCAUGUAAAUGCUGUAUGAUUGUGUUAAGAUCAUUAUUAGCCCAAGGCUGUUGAUCGUCUCUCUCUCCAUAGUAGAAGUUUACUCUGAGAGGCGCGUUUAAUUCUCCUUUAGUGAAAAUCUUCAUCUUGGGACAACCAAUUAUAGAUAAAUCUUCCAAAGAUGGGAAUUUGAAGGUGUAAUUGGCAGAGCAGAAACUUGUGAGACUAUCCAAAUCAUACAGAUACAAAAUCUUCAAUUUGGUGAAAACAAUCUCUUCUUCAAAAUUUGCUGCUCCAUCUUCGUCAUUUAUCACCACCUCUCUCAUUGCUCUGCAUCCAUAUACCAACAUUGAUAAGAGUCGCUGUAGAGUUUGGAGUGACAGAUUCGAUAAUGAUCAACUCCAAAUACUGGCCAAGAUCGCAAAUCAAACAACCAAGAUGCAAAAAGAAUCAAUCCAGAACAAAUCACAGAGAAACUUAAGAACCGAAAAGAAUUAAAGAAUUAGCAGCAAAGACAAAAGAAUUAACAGAUUUUGACAAUAAUGUACAUUUAGAAUUUCAAGGCAUUGAACAAAGGAGUCCAAUUUGGAGUCUUGUUUCCACAAUUGCUUCAGAUGAUUAAAUUUGUGCAGAUCUAAAUGUUUUAUCAUUGUAAACUUCCUCACAUGUUUCUUCAAGUAUCCUCCAUUCGAAAAUACCUCUUCGCAUGAACAACGACGCCGUAUGAGAGUUUCCAGAUUAUGAAAUCUCUCAAGUAAAUCAAGUGGAAAACAAGUUGAGUCAUCAUCCACUGUUUGUAGUAGUUUAAGACUGCCAAAAAGGUGUUGUGGGAAAUCGCUCUGCAAAGUCAUCCUCGAGUCUUUUCCACUUAAUGCCAGUUGGGUAAGCUCUGAUCAUCAUCAAUCACGUAAUAACUUAUUAAGUCAAUUCAUAUUCUCUCAAAUAACUUUUAAUAAUCCAAUCAUACACAGUGACUUUAAUAUAAAUCAUAAUAAUUUACAAAAAAGAAGAAAAAAUCGAAUUAGAGGUAAAAGUUAUUCUACGAUUUUAUUUUUUAUAUAUAUCUUGCAUGCUAUUCCCAAGAGCAAUCCCAAACGGCCCUUAAAGCAAUUUUACAAAAGCGGCCGUUACAUAUAUUGCCAACUUUGUUGGGAAUGGCAAUGGGGAGAGGAGGGGAAGAGACCGAACUCCCCGUACCCAUUCAUGAUAUUCUGCAUAUAUCCUCGUCCUCUCCUCAUUUCUCACAAAAUUGCUUUAGGAAAUCCCCCUCCCCUCCCCAAAUAAUAAUAGGGGAUCCUUGAAGGCCCUCGAUCCUCGAAUAACUGAUACGUUUUUUGUUUUAAAUUUUAAUUUAAUCAUAUUAAAAUAAAAAAUAAAAAUAAAAAUAAAGUUUGACGAUAUAUCUUAUAUUAACAUUAAUCUAUUACAAAAGUCACAUUACAAAGUAUAAAUCACCAUAAUAAUUAUCUUCGGCAAUCUUCAAAAUCAUAUAAUAAAAAAAAGAAAUUACUUUUAUAUCAACAAUGAGAUAAAUGAAAUGAAUAUAGAUACUUAAUCAAUAUUUCUAAUAAAAGUAUUUACCUCUGCGUCUCCUACUCUUCUUGUUCUUCCUCGAGGAAUGUGACAAAUUGAGAGAUAGCCUCAGAUUUCAAAUUUAAAACAACAAAAAUAAUAUAAGUAAUGUAAAUUCUAAGUGAAAAUAUUAAUAAUUAUAUAAUAUAAUUACAAUGUAAAAUAAACUCAUACUGCCAUUGUAAGCUUGUAGUCAACUUUGACAACAUAUUAAAGCCUCCAAUGUGCUUGAAUAAAGCGUGUUACGGUACUCUACCACUGGUGCUAAAAGCUAAUUCAGAAGCAACAUUUGUAAUUAGAAUUGCCAAAAUAUCUCUAGCAAUUCAUGCCAGUAUAGGAUAUCUAUAGACAUUUAUUUUACACCAACUCAAAAUAUUAAAAUCUUUCAUCCUAAGCAUAACUUUCUCAUCCAAAUAUUAAUGUAGUCAAUUAGGCCUAAAUUUUAAUAAUAUAAUUAUUUUAUUUUUUUUUAUUUAUACUAAUAUUUAAUAUUUUAUUAUUUAUUUACAAAUAAUUUUAAAAAAUAAAAUUAAAUCAAAAAAUUAGAAGAGAAUAGGGAUUCUGCCGAUCCCCGUUCUUUCUCUGAAUAAGAAAUUAGGUAAAAAAACUAUCUCCGUCUCCUUUUCAAAUAAAAAAUUAAGUAAAAAAUUAUGUACCCACCUGAAUUGGGAAAAUCUCGAGGGUCAUGUCCCCGCGGCAAUAUCUGCCAUUCCUAAACUUGUAACAGCCAGUUGCUUUUGUGACCGUUUAUGUGACGGCUAGACUGCUCUCACUUAUGUUACUAACCACGUGACGGUAGAGAGUGACGGUAGAGAGUGACGGUAGAGUUAUAAAUUUGUUUCUAAAUAGAAAACUAUUUGCUGGAGUCAAUAUUUUGAAGACCAAAGUCCCAAAUUCUCUCUCGUGCCUGGCCAGCAUCCUAAACCUUACUGGUAGCCGGAGAAUGGCGUAAAACGGCAGCGAUCUUCUUCUUCAUCUUAUUCUCUCUCUUCGUUUCAGGUAAGCUUGUGAUUAUGAGUUUCCUCUCUUUCUUAGCUUGUAAUUAUAGGUUUUGAUCUCUUUACUUCGUAUUGUAGCCAUUAAUGUCAAUUUUUGUCCCACCGGCAAUGAGAAAAAAUCGAAUUAGAGGUAAAAGUUAUUCUACGAUUUUAUUUUUUAUAUAUAUCUUGCAUGCUAUUCCCAAAAGCAAUCCCAAACGACCCUUAAAGCAAUUUUACAAAAGCGGCCCGUACAUGUAUUGCCAACUUUGUUAGGAAUGGCAAUGGGAAGGGGAGGGGAAGAGACCGACCUCCCCGUACCCAUUCUCGAUAUUCUGUAUAUAUCCCUGGCCUCUUCCCAUUCACAAAAUUGCUUUAGGGAAUCCCCCUCCCCUCCCUAAAUAAUAAUAGGGGAUCCUUAAAGGUCCUCGAUUCUCGAAUAACUGAUACGUUUUUAGUUUUAAAUUUUAAUUUAAUCAUAUUAAAAUAAAAAAUAAAAAUAAAAAUAAAGUUUGACGAUAUAUCUUACAUUAACAUUAAUCUAUUACAAAAGUCACAUUACAAAGUAUAAAUCACCAUAAUAAUUAUCUUCGGCAAUCUUCAAAAUCAUAUAAUAAAAAAAAAGAAAUUACUUUUAUAUCAACAAUGAGAUAAAUGAAAUGAAUAUAGAUACUUAAUCAAUAUUUCUAAUAAAAGUAUUUACCUCUUGUGUCUCCUACUCUUCUUGUUCUUCCUCGAGAAAUGUGACAAAUUGAGAGAUAGCCUCAGAUUUCAAAUUUAAAACAAUAAAAAUGAUAUAAGUAAUGUAAAUUCUAAUUAAAAUAAACUCAUACUGCCAUUGUAAGCUUGUAGUCAACUUUGACAACAUAUUAAAGCCUCCAAUGUGCUUGAAUAAAGCGUGUUACGGUACUCUACCACUGGUGCUAAAAGCUAAUUCAGAAGCAACAUUUGUAAUUAGAAUUGCCAAAAUAUCUCUAGCAAUUCNNNNNNNNNNNNNNNNNNNNNNNNNNNNNNNNNNNNNNNNNNNNNNNNNNNNNNNNNNNNNNNNNNNNNNNNNNNNNNNNNNNNNNNNNNNNNNNNNNNNNNNNNNNNNNNNNNNNNNNNNNNNNNNNNNNNNNNNNNNNNNNNNNNNNNNNNNNNNNNNNNNNNNNNNNNNNNNNNNNNNNNNNNNNNNNNNNNNNNNNNNNNNNNNNNNNUUGAAAACCAAAGUCCCAAAUUCUCUCUCGUGCGUGCCUGGCCAUCCUAAACCUUACUGGUAGCCGGAGAAUGGCGUAAAACGGCAGCGAUCUUCUUCUUCAUCUUAUUCUCUCUCUCAUCGUUUCAGGUAAGCUUGUGAUUAUGAGUUUCUUCUCUUUCUUAGCUUGUAAUUAUAGGUUUUGAUUUCUUUAAUUCGUAUUGUAGCCAUUAAUGUCAAUUUUUGUCCCACCGGCAAUGUUUUUUGUUCCUAGAAGUUGAAGCCCUUCUGUUCUUGUGCCAUUGGUGAGUUUGCUCACUCAAAUUAAUUUUGUUCUGCGGAGUUUACAAAGUUCAAAUGGAUUCAUUUGGAUUACUAUUGAAUUUAGCUUUCAUUUCAACAUUCAUUCUAAUGUUUUACAAUCAUGUAUUUAGAUUUACUUUUAUUUUAUGUUUAAAGCUUCCACAAUGAAUAGCGGAGCUUGGGUUUUAGUUUCAUUUUCUAAUUAACUUGUUUUAGUUUAUCUUAUAUGCUCGCCAAGUGCUUGUUAUAUUGUCUGAUAAGUUAUAUAACAUUGCUGAUUCUAUAUUAGUAAUGUCAUGUUCCAUUUUCGGAAAUUAUAACACAAAAGUUUUUACAAUGGCUUGCAUCUACAAACUGAAUUGACUUGUAGAGUAAGAGCUUGGAUUAGUGUUAUGUUCUUGAAUAAAUGAAAGUUCAUAUUGUGUAAGAGCAUGUAGAUGUAAAGCAUCACUACCAUUUCUACAAAAUGCUUUCAUUCUGUUCAGAUGCUCCUCUUGAACUUUGAAAGGUGCCUCAUUCAAGUCCUAGCUAUAACUACUAGCUCUGAUUGCUUAAGUUCCUGUGCUAGCUGAAACAGAUUUAUUUAAUUAAUUAAUUGUGUAUGUACUAAUUAUAUUGAAAGUAUAUGAAGAAAUUGUUUAACAUGAAUGACUUCUAAAUGACUUAAAAGCCUAAAGGAUAUGUGAAAUAAUGCUCAUUUCACUUGAACGAGCCUAUUAAUACUUGUAUGUCUAUGAUUGUCAAUCUUGCUUAAGUGUUUCAGUUAAGUGGUUUACCUAACAGGGAAAAAAAUUUAAUGGAAAACUUUAGAGUUCUAACAGAAAUAUAGUUGACUGCAGAUAUAGUUAUUUUACAGUACAUAAAUCAUAUUGUCCUAUUCUCAAUGUCCUGCGACCUAUUUUAUUUUAUAUGGUCAUUCAUUUUUGCGAUGGUUUUUUGUGCUUAUGAGUAUGGAAAUAGUGGGAUUUAGAGUGGCAAACAAAAAUAUACAUAUAAUCAAGUUUCUUAAUCAUGUAUAUUGGUUUUGGGUAUGAAUGUUUUCCUAUUCUAGUUCUAGGCAAAGUUUCUUCAUUUUGGUCUUCAGAUUUCCAGUAGGUUAAGUUAAGCAACUAUCAUAACUAGCUAGCUAGUUAUUGCCUGCCUUGUCGCCAUUACCGACGCCAUUACAUUGCAUGGCAUAAGGAAUAGUAACUAGGUGAUUAUUGGUGAUUCCUUGAGUUUAUUAUUGGCCAAACAAACAUAUUCGCCUUUACCCACAACUUAGUUUGAUUAGUUAUUAGAUAAUAAAGAGCCUUAAUCUAUGCAUUGCUUUAUUAUUUUUAUUUGGUUUUUCUUUCAACAAUAUUGUUGAUUUCUUAUAAACAGUACUAGUAGUGAAAAAAUGAUGACAACAACAAAAAUAGAAAAUUACAAGACUGCUGAUAAAAUUUCAUUUGCAUGCAUGUCUGACAAAAUUUCCGUGAUUUAAUGUGCUUUCAUGAACGCAAGUCCUAACGUUUCUGUGAUCACAAAAUGAAACUGAAGAUAAAACAGAACAACUACCAAACCUUUCAAGCUUGACGAAGCCAUGAGAAUUGAUAGCUCAGGCAGAAGUAUUUUAAUAUGAAUGACUUAAAACUUAUUGCUCAGUAAACAUAAUGUGCAUCAGUGCUAGAAAAUGUAUUUAUUGUUUGUAAUUUUUUAUGGUUUUGCUUAAGAAAUGAAAUGUGAAAAAAUGCUACAUUUUAUUAGGAAUAAAUUGAAGAGAUUUAUGAUUUUUAUGUGUUAUUCAAGUUUCAGAUUCAAUUUUAAACUUUUGAUACAUGCAUUGAAAGCUUAAACUCCUUUAAGAAAUUAUUAAUAGACACAUGUUUUAUUAGUGUCAUCUUUUGGAUGAUAGUGAGGAUCUUAUGUCUAUUAAUAAUUCUUGAAUUAUCUAGGCUUGGACAGUUUGGUAAUGCAUAGAUUUCUAUGGUAGCUAGUGCCUGAAAUUUUUUUCCCACGUAAAAAUGGGUUUUUCAGCAGCUGCUCCUCAUGUUCUCUGGGUGCAUACUAGACAAAUGGGUGUCAUGUAUUGUUUUGGCAUAACACAUAAACACUCAUAUAUCUAUGUCGUUGCUUGGAGAACUAAAGGGAGAUGCUGCCGAAAUUUCUAUAAACGUAGAAGAAAACUUUAAAGUACUUGAGAUUGAAGAAACUUAUGCAUUCUUGAGAGGGAUAUACGGGACCACUUACCUUUUGUAAAUAUGAAGGGAAUGUUGGAUAUAUUGAUGGGAGUGGAGGAGCUGAGUGGGAUGAAUGUAAUCGGUUAUGAUUUUGCUGAGUCGACUUGGUUUUGAGUCUUGUAAUUUUUUUUAUAAAUGGAGUACUAUCUCCAAUGUUGGUUUAUAAAUAUGUUUCAGCUGGCUGACCUAAUUUUUUGUUUCUAGGUAACAGGCUUUAUAUAUCUGUAAUUGAUAGCCAAGUGAAGUUCUCAGCAGUGGGUGAGGAUAUUUCUUUACAGAAGGUAUUGCAAACUGUUUUUUAGAUUAAUUAUUGUUGUAUAUAUACUUUAAUUUUCACAUCUUUUUCUCUGAUUCUUGUGGCUUUGCUUGCUUCCAUAUAUAUAAACGUUCUAAUGAGAUUAACCAUAAAAUUGUAUAAUAAUUUUUUUUAUUAUAUUGCGAAACUGCGCACACAUGAAAAUAUCUUGUUUAGUAGUAGAAAUGAAGAAUUAAAGUGAUUUAUUUAACUAAUUUUUCUAGUGCAUUAAAAGGACAUAGUCAUGGACCAGAGUUGGGUUGGUUUGCCAAAUAGAUAUCCAAUUCAUAUAAAAUUUAUAGAUUUUGCAUUUGAGAAUGUUGUUGGUGAUAAAAGAAUUUAUUGUCCUUCUAAGAAGUGUCGUAAUAUCGAUAUUUCCUUAUAAGGAAAGUGGCAAGAGACCAUAUCAUUAUAAAUGGCUAUUGGUUAAAGUAUUAAAACUGGAUAUUGGAGGGUGAGCCAUCUUCAUCUUUGAAAUCUAACUAAGAAACAGGUUAGUCAUGACUCGGGUAGUGAUGCUAGUAUGGUUGGAAUGAUGCAUAAUGCAUCACAUAAUCAAAUGUUCAAGUCACACGCAGCAUUGUUAUGGACUAUCUCCGACUUUCUAGCAUAUGCCAACUUGUUUGGGUGGAGUAUUAAAGGUAAAUAAGCAUUUCUUGUUUGCCAACAAAACACUAGAUCUAAUUGGUUGAUACAUAGUAGAAAAUUGUCACGUGGGUCACCGUCGAUUUUUACCAACAAAUCAUAGGUUCCGAAAAUAUAGUGCCAUCUGAUAAAACUAGAGAGUGGGGACAAGCACCUUCUCGGUUGUCUGGAGCUGAGGUGAAAAAGCAGUUCAGUAAUGUACUUACUGAGUAUAAGAUUGAAGACUUGAAAAGAGGAGAAUGAAUAAAAUAAAAGAAAUGAUAAGAUUACUUGGAAGAAGAAAAGCAUUUUUUAUGAACUAACGUAUUGGGAGUUCAAUUUGAUUCAUCAUAAUCUUGAUGUCAUGCACCGUUUUGAUUUUUGUUAUGAACUCAGAUCAAAAGUUUAAUGUGAUCAAAAUUUCUUAAAAAUAGUGAAAACGACUCCUCCUAAUAAUAUGGAAGAUGGCUAUAAAAGAUAAUUUCUUAAAAGUUUAAUGUGAUCAAAAUUGCUUGUGAACGCAAGGGUUUUAGUUACACUGUCAACGCUGUCAAUGUAGUGAUACAAUGAAGAUGAAGUAAAGCAUUAGUAGAAUAAUGAAGUUGACCAGUAACACAGUAAAGCAAAUUUUAUUCCAGAGCAUGAAAACUUUUAAACAGUAACACAGCUCUUAUUCCAGAGGCUGCACGCGAGUGACCUGAAUCUUCUUCAGAACUUUCAAAUUUUAUCAAGCAAAGCUUUCAAAAUCCUUGCCUUCCUAAGUUAGGAAAGAUAGAUGUGGAGCAAACUAUUUUUUUUAGAUAUUUUCACUUUGGGCUGUCAGCCCGAGGAAGUAGGGGGGUCUGAGUUAUUCAACUGAAAAUGUCGGCCAAGUUCUUGUGUUAGUUUUAGUAUAUUGUGUAAAAAUGAUACACUAACUUGAAUUUAUAUGCUUUUAUGACUAUUUGAUAAUCAAAUGGGUAAAUGACACGAAGAACUUUGAGUUUAAAGAGUGUAAUUAAUCUCAAAUAUCAACAUUAUAAAUUAUGAGUGUAAUUGAUUGGGUAAAUACUCGUUUAAUCCCUAAAUUUUGAUAUAAGUGUCCGUUUAAUCUCCAAAUUUUAAAAAGUGCGUAAAAACACUCUUAUUGUUCAAUAUGUUACAUUCUUAUCAUUGUUUGUUUCUUUUCUUUUACAAUAAUAAUAUUGCAACAAUAUUCUUGACAUUAAUUAAUUUAUUUAUAAAAAAAUUAAUUAGCAAAUUAACCAAUAAAUAUAAGUGUGAAAGAACUAAUAUUUUUUGUAGCACAUGCCAACUUGUCUGAGUGGAGUAUUAAAGGUAAAUAAGCAUUUCUUGUUUGCCAACAAAACACUAGAUCUAAUUGGUUGAUACAUAGUAGAAAAUUUUGUCACGUCGGUAACGUCGAUUUUUACCGACGAAUCAUAGGUUUCGAAAAUAUAGUGCCUUUUGAUAAAUCUAGAGAGUGGGGACAAGCACCUUCUCGGAUGUCUGGAGCUGAAGUGAAAAAGCAGUUGAAUAAUAUCCUUACUGAGUUUAAGAUUGAAGACUUGAAAAGUGGAGAAUGAAAAAAAUGAGAGAAAUGACAAGAUUACUUGGAAGAAGAAAAUCAUAUUUUAUGAACUACCGUGUUGGGAGUUCAAUUUGAUUCAUCAUAAAAUGUGAGACAUGAGGGAGAGACAAAAGCUCAGGCUUGUCUGCAACCAUGUGGGCCCUCAUAAGCAAUUCGUGUACACAACUUGGUUCACCAAGCCCAACAACUUGAAGCAGGCAAAAUCCGGGAACGAUCCUUCUCCUUCGCAACCCUAGCUGCCUUAACCUUGUAUUUCUGAUAUUUAGUUAAAGAGUAAGAAGAUUGCUCCUCUGUCAAUUACCUUCGAGAGAGACUUUCUUUUUCAUUCACCGAUGCUUGCUUGUGAAAGCAAGGGUUUUAGUUACGCUUUCAACGCUGUCAAUGUAGUGAAGUUAAGCAUUCGUAGAAUAGUGAAGUAAAGCAUUCGUAGAAUAAUGAAGAUGGAAGCCCCACAGCAUGAAAACUUUUAAACAGUAACACAGCUCUUAUUCCAGAGGCUGCACGCGAGUGACCUGAAUCUUCUUCAGAACUUUCAAAUUUUAUCAAGCGAAGCUUUCAAAAUUUCUCAACAAAUUGAUUAUUUGGUGUGGUUGCCACAUUUUGAGUAACCGCUAUUUGUUCUCAAGUACAAAAUCCUUGCCUUCCUAAGUUAGGAAAUAUAAAUGUGAAGCAAACCAAAUGAAAUAAAUGGGUAAACAGAACAAGCAGGGCAAAAAUUAAAAAUGAUGGCAAUUAACAAAUUAAUAGCAAUGUUACAUUUGACUCUUUAGCCCUUUGUUCCUUCUCUUAGCAUUCUUCAAAGGUUUUGAAAAUAGGACGUGAAGCAAACAAAAUAAAAUAAAUUUAGACAACACAUGCCCUGUAUUCAGCAUCAUAUAUAUCUCGCAUAUCUAAUAUAAUAAAUUUCACAUCUAAAAUACUAGAAUUUCAAACAGAAUAUCUAAUAAUAGUAAAAAAAUGACGACAACAACAAAAAUAGAAAAUUACAAGACUGCUGAUAAAAUUUCAUUUGCAUGCAUGUCUGACAAAAUUUCCGUGGUUUAAUGUGCUUUCAUGAACGCAAGUCCUAACGUUUCUGUGAUCACAAAAUGAAACUGAAGAUAAACCUUUCAAGCUUGACGAAGCCAUGAGAAUUGAUAGCUCAGGCACUGAUACCAAGUUAAAGUUUCUAAUCUGUUUGGUAAGUAAGAAAAUGUGAGAAAAUGAAAGAAAGAACAGAGAUCAUCUAAGAGCUGGAUUUGAUAAGUAAAUAUGAAUCAUCCAUUCAUUAGUUGAUUGCAAAUGUAUUUAUACGAGGUUCCUGAACAUUUCAGAUUCUAUAUGCUCGAGCUAAGCACCUGAGAGUUGAGCAGUGUGCACUAACAAACUGCUAACAAAAUAACUAACUUAUGCCAGCUCAGCUAACACGUCAGUAACUCUUAACUAUCUUGCUUAACAAACUGAAACAAUAACUAACCAUUUUAACUAUCUUAACAAUCCCAAUAAUUUUUCCAUUUGUGUAUUUUUUUGAAUCAUAAUCAAAUGGGUAAAUGUUGCAACUAUUUUUUUUAGAUAUUUUCACUUUGGGCUGUCAGCCCGAGGAAGUACGGGGGUCUGAGUUAUUCAACUGAAAAUGUCGGCCAAGUUCUUGUGUUAGUUUUAGUAUAUUGUGUAAAAAUGAUACACUAACUUGAAUUUAUAUGCUUUUAUGACUAUUUGAUAAUCAAAUGGGUAAAUGACACGAAGAACUUUGAGUUUAAAGAUCUGGCCCUGAUGCCUAGUAGCCCUCCAACCCAUGAAGCACUAGAUGUUUUAAUGAGAAAACGACAAGACCAUUUAUCAAAUUUCUUGUGGAUAUAAAUACAUACAUAGAGUGAUUCAAAUCUCAAAAUACAAUAGAAAUUCAUGACAUAUAUAUAAUAAAAGACCUCUCAUUGAGUCAUAUAUAUUGAGAAUAAAAUUUUUUUAAUACAUACAAAGAGCUUAUCUAGAAUGAAAUGUAAACUUUUUUAAUACAUACAAUGAUCAAACAAAGGAAACAGACAGGUUGCAACUCACACUAUCACAGAUGUAGCGACACGAUGCAGUGAAUCACAAGAAGAUCACGAAGAUGGAAACGGGAACCCCUCAGAAUGUAAACUUUGAAUAGAGGAAAAAAGAAAAACGACCUUAUUUCAAAUUGCGCACAGAAGAAGAGUGACUUAAAUCGUCAUCAGUAUCCAAACAUUCUGCAAUCAUAGAGUAGAGAAAUUUUAACAGGAACAGUGGAGAAAAUAUUAUGAAUAUGCUAGACCAAAUUAGUCCCUUUUAACAGGAACAGUGGAGAAAAUAUUAUGAAUAUGCUAGACCAAAUUAGUCCCUUUUUGGUUUGUGAAAACUUGAUUUUUUAUGAAAUAUUUUCAAACAAUAUUUCCACAAUAUACUUGUUCAUAGCUAACAUUUGAUGGUUUAAGCAUUUGUUAUAGGAACAAUGCACUGAUUACGUUUUUUUUUAAAAAUUUUUUUAGUCCGAUGAAUGAUAUUCAGCUGUUCUUUAAUUAUGUGUUCAUAGGGAAGAACAUUUUCUAAGUACUUUCCUUGCCUUCUAACUUUCCAAGGAAAUAUAGGUGUGAAGAAAAGCAAACCCAAUGAACAAACAGAACACAAACUAAAAUAAAAGAACAGCAAUGAUGAGAAUAAAUAAUUGGCAAAGAAAGAAUGGAAAAAGUAUGCAUGUUUUCAACGAAUUAUAAAAUACGAAGGCUUUUAAUGAAAUUUUAUCAUAAAAACGUAUGCAAGGAGUUAUAAAAUUUUAGAAGACGAGGGGAGCUCCCAAAAAAAAAAAAAAGAAGAAGAAAAAGACUCAAAUUAAACUAGACUAAAAAGACAUUCAAUUAUGCAAAAUCUGUCCAUAAAAGUCUGAAGGGAUCAUUAAAAUUGCAUUGCAAAUCUAUAUCUAUCUAUCUAUAUAUCUAUAUAUCUAUAUAAAGCUAGGACUUGAGGAGGUGAUGUGGCAUCACCAUUUUGCUUCUUUGUAUAUUCUCUAUUAUCUAAUAAAUAGAGAAUUUUUUUUAGAUUUAGCUUUUCAUCUUCUCAUAAUUAAUUUGAUUGUAUUUAACUCAUUUAAUAAAUAGUAACUUUAUUAAUAUAUAUCAUUCCUCAUCUUUUUAUAUUUUCUAUUAUCUAAAAUAUCUAAAAUAUUGGUGAAUAUUCUUUGUACUUUUUUUCUCUUUCUAUUUAAAUUCAACAAUAUGUAAUCAUUAAUAAUAAUUAAUUAUAAGUCCAAUUUUAAUGUCAACAAUGCCAUUAGAGCCCAAUUUUAAUGUCAUGAUCCCAUAUUUAAUUAUUCAAUAUUUUGUUUAGUGCCUUUUGGCUUCUUCAAACUCUAUAAACAUUAAAUAUUUAAGAUUUGUGGCAUCAUUAUUUCUUCCUCUUUCUAUUUAAAUCCAACAAUAUGUAACCAUUAAUAACAAUUAAUUAUAAGUCUUUUGAAAUAUUCAUUUAUUUUAUUAUGCUAGCAAUUAAACUUUAGUUGCUUAAAAUACAUCAAUUAAUUAACAUAGGAAGAGGGGUUCUUUCAUCUUCCCUCAAUAAUGCAGCUAGGGCCUAAGUUUAAUUUUCAUGUCUCUUCCUCUUUCUAUUGAAAUCCAACAAUAUAUAAUCAUGAAUAAUAAUUAAUAAUAAAUCUUUUGAAACAUUCAUUUAUUUUAUUAUGCUAGCAAUUAAACUUUAGUAGCUUAAAAUACAUCAAUUAAUUAACAUAUGAAGAGAGGCUCUUUCAUCUUCCUUCAACAAUGUCAUAAGGGCCUAAUUUUAAUGCCAUAAUCUCAUAUUUAAUUAUGCAACCUUUUAUUUAGUGUCUUUUGGCUUCUUCAAAUUUUAUUAUACUAGCAAUUAAACUUUAGCGGCUUAAAAUACAUUAAUUAAUUAACAUAGGAAGAGAGGUUCUUUCAUCUUCCCUCAACAAUGCCACUAAGGCAUAAUUCUUCUUAUUCUAAAUUUAAGUUGCUUGUCAUCAUCAGCAACACAAGUCGAUUAUGAUGCAACUACCAUUAUAAUUAAUGGAGAACGACGAGUUAUCUUCUCUGGUGCAAUUCAUUAUAUUUUCGCAGUAGUCCACAAGUACUGUAUGCAAAUAAUUAAUUUACAAUUUCUCAAAUCACUUGCACUUUCACAUUUUCUUCUUCUUUUAACCAAAAAAAAAAAAGCUACUUUGUUGCAAAAAUAUUAUCUUAAUUUUUUUUCCUAACAAGCCAAACAUGAUCCCACAUUCAAAACGGUGCGCUUUCAUGUUUAGGAAAAAUUAUGGGCAAUAUUUUUGGAUCCAACAGCAUUGUUAUUCUUAAAAUAUGUAAAAUUUGACAUGAUUUAUUUCUAUAUGCAUUAUAUUUGUGCAGAUGUGGCCAGAUCUUAUACAGAAGGCAAAGGAUGGAGGGCUCGAUGCAAUUGAAACUUAUAUUUUGUGGAAUGCUCAUGAGCCUCAACGUCGUCAGGUGCCAAUUAUUAUUAUUAUUAUUUUUUUUAUUAUUAUUAUUAUUAUUAUGUGCGAUCGUUAUUAUUAUUGAAAUAAACAUACAAAAUUAACUUGUUUAAUCUUCCUUUUGAGAAGAGAUCAGAAGGUUAUCUUAAGAAAUUUGAAUUUCAUCAAAUUUUUUAUUUUUAAUUUGAUAUUUUUAAAGCCGCGCGAAGCGCGGUUCUAUUUCCUAAUUUAACAGUAAACCGAGGGACCUAUUCUAAAUAAUUAAGAUGAAAUUGCGAAACAAGCCAUGGGAUUAAAUAAAUUAAAUAAAAAUUAAUUACCAGCUGAGACUUUCUUCUAAAAAUUCGCAACUCCAAGUCAUAAGAAGCCUAUGAAAUUAGUCGUACUGCGUAGAGUAUAUCGACGACCCCGCCAACAGCUGAAAAUAAAAUUCUUAUUCAUCAAUUUAAACUUUUACUUUAUAACAAACAUUUUAUCUAUAUUUUAUUUAAAAAGAAAAAGCAAAUUUUGUAAAAAUUUAUCAUGGGAGAUAGAGAGUAAUAUGUAUAUCCGUACCUUCUCAGCAUGUAAUUGUUGUAUGGUUGUGUUUAGAUCAUUAUUAGCCCAACGCCGUUGAUUCGAUGUCUCUCCAUACUGGACGUCUACUCUCGGAGGCGUGAUUGAUUCUCCUGUAGUGAAAAUCUUCAUCUUGGGACAACCAAUCACUUCCAGAUAUUCCAAAGAUGGGAAUCUGAAGGUGUAAUUGGCAGAGCAGAAACUUGUGAGACUUUCUAAAUCACACAGAAUCAACGCCUUCAAUUUGCUGAAAACAAUCUCUUCUUUUUCAACUCCUUCUUUGUCAUUUAUUACCACCUCUGUCAUUGCUCUGCAUCCUUGUAUACGCACCGUGACGAGUUGCACUAGAGUUUUUGCUGUGCAGGAUGUUACCAAGUGUAUCAAUCCCUUGCAACCGAAAGCUACAAGUUUUGUUAGGUUCCCAAAAGAUACCGAUGAUGAUGGCAAUAGAAUUAACAGACUUUGACAAUGAUAUACUCUUAGAAUUUCAAGAUACUGAAAAAUGGGGCCAAGUUUGGAGUCUUGUUUGCACAGCUGCUUCAGAUGAUAGUGCCGGUACAGCUCUAAUUCUUUUAUCAUUGCCAACUUCCCCACAUGUUUCUCUAAGCAUCCUUCCAUCGAAAAUAGCUCUUCGUGGGAUGAAAAAUCACACAGUGUGAGUAUUUCGAGAUUGUGAAAUCUCUCCAGUACGUUCCAGAUUGGAAAACAAGCUGAGUCAUCUGCAGCAAUCUCUAGUUCUCUAAGACUGCCAAAAAGGUGUUGUGGGAAAUCGGCCUGCAAAAUCAUCUCCACGUCUUUUCCACUUAGUGAUAGUUCCGUCAAG
RNAcentral lists this long non-coding RNA (77464 nucleotides) under Citrus sinensis (sweet orange). Its description in RNAcentral is "long non-coding RNA (CSIN_LNC001160)". The record is from RNAcentral. Lineage: Eukaryota; Viridiplantae; Streptophyta; Magnoliopsida; Sapindales; Rutaceae.